CUCUCUCUCUCUCUCUCUCUUCCAUUUUGUGCUGCUCAAACCCUAACAUUGGCUCUCUCACUAAAUCCUGGUAGAUCGCUAUGUUUGUCCUUUUAAUCUUUGAAUUCGGAUUCAGAUCUGUAAUUUGUACGGCUUGUUUGUGUAUGUGUUUGUUAGGGUGAGAUCUUAACUGGGUUUGCUUAUUGGUCGUAUUGUUGCUGUUUUUGUCUUAUGGGUACCUACGAUAGCGCUUAUAUUGGCGAAUUGGGACUUGCAAUGGUGAUUUUAAUAUAGGGUUUUGGUAUUAUGAUAAUGGGUUCCAGGGGCCUCAAGGAAAUCGAUGACGAAAUUUGUGUACGUUGGGGUUUAUGCUUGCAUUUGAGUAGAUUUGCGCAUGGAUGCCUUUAGCAUAGAGAAAGACUAGCUUCUCGAAAGUGCAGAUCUUGGAACUUGAAAACUACUUUGUAUAGAUAGCUAAUAUCGCAAUGCAUCUAUAACACUGAAAAUUACAUAUGAAUGCGAUCCAGCUCCACCAAAAACAGGUUGCAAGUCAAUCUGCAAUCGUAACACAAGAAGCUUGCCUUACCAUGUCAAAAAAAAAAAAAAAAAAAAAAAAAACUUUAUGAGUGCUAAUGUACCGUACAUCUAUCCAUAAGUCGGGUACCCGUAUUCAUUCAACGAACUCAUAUAGUGUGGGAUAUGUUAGCAGCUGUAAUGAUUUUGGUUGAUACUUGUAAAUAGAUCUACUUGAGAGGUCUUAGCUAGUUUUGCUAGUUGGUGGAUUUCUUAUCCACUAUUUUGUAAUUCAUGCUAUUGUUUUAAUAAAUUGUUACCGUUUAUUCUCAAAAAAGAAAAAAAGGUUGCUUUGAAAACACACUAAGGUGGAGGCAUCCUGAUGCUCUAAUGAAGCAUUUACAGAUGGCUGAUUGCAUUGAAUUAUAGAUGUAAAAGACGUUAGGAUGAAGCCUUUUUCUGUAAUCAUCACGUGUUAACUAGACUUUCACAUACACUGUCAUUCUGUCAUCUGUAUUAUUAAUCUAACUUCAAACCAUUUGUUGACUAGUUCUAAUUUCACACUUUCCUGUGCUGCUAGGAUAAUUGAUCUUGGAUUGAUCCAUGCUUGAUCUAAUUAUAAAUUAUGUCUAAAUGUUCUAAUGCUCCCUUGCUUUCGUUUGCAGUAUAAAACAGAAGAAUCAGUUACCCUUUGGGUGAAUAAAGUUGGGCCCUACAAUAAUCCACAAGAAACAUACAAUUACUACAGUCUUCCUUUCUGUCAUCAAUCUGAAAAUGCUGCUCACAAAUGGGGUGGUCUUGGUGAAGUCCUGGGUGGAAAUGAGCUGAUUGAUAGCCAGAUUGAGAUAAAGUUUCAAAGUAUGUGGACUUCCAUGCUCUGCUAUAAUUUUUGUUGAUGGAUUGUGGUAUUUAAUUGCAACUUGAUUUGUUUCAUUUCUCUGUUCAGAAAAUGUGGACAGGGCUACCAUUUGCCAACUUGAACUUGACGAUCAAAAGGUUAAACACUUCAAGGAUGCAAUCGAGAAUAACUACUGGUUUGAAUUUUUCAUGGGUAUGUUUUACAUAAAAUUAUUUAAUACAAUAUAUAUAGACAGUAUGAAAUAUUUGUUUAGAUUAAAUCGAUGUAUGGUGUUUCUAGAUGCAUAAAAAGUUUUUGUUGGAUGUCCUGAGUUAACAUUCCAAAAUACUUUUUGUUAAAAAAAAAAAAAAAUCCAACAUACUUAUGGACUUUUGAUUUACAAAAUCGGUACUUUUAUUGGUAUUUAGUAUGCAUUUUUUUUUCUGGGGGAGUCGGUGGUGCGUUGGUUCCAUUGUUAUGACAUCAUUGCAUUCCUGGAUAUACAAUGUUAUGGCAAGUGUGAAAGAUGAAUCAUACUUAUCUAGUGCAUGGGAGAGAGUGAUUUAGGAAGCAAAGAGUAUGGCAGAAUUAUCUUUAAAUCAAUAUUAAGAACAUUUCUCAUGCUUAUGUUUGGACAAUAAUAUUGCUGAUGCAAUAAAAAUAUGUACUUGUAUGUUUUCUUAGUCAUAUAAGAUAGUUAAGCAAACGUGUGUUGUGACUGACAAGUCCAUGCCUCAUGACCUACAGUCUAAUUGUUGCCAAAUUCAAUAUAACCUUACAACACACGGAACUUGAGGAAACUUGAUGCUUAACUACAAGAAAUUUGUGUUAAUUACAUUUUCAUGAACAGUAUUAUAGAGUCUAUACACGUAGGAAAUGCUCACAAUUAUCUGAAAAGUAGCUUUAUUAUGUGUUUGGGAAUCUAGAUCUUUGUGGGGAUCUAUUGCAAGGGUUUAUUUUCUCUAUGUUUUGUGGUCAAUUCGUUUGGGGCAUUCACUGAUCCUAUAUUUUGUAUCUUUAACAUAUUAUCUUCCCUGGACGUUGCUGUGCUGGAUGCAUGUUCAGAUGAUCUGCCUUUAUGGGGUAUGCAUCAUACUCAUUCCUUCAAAUUUUGAGCUCACGUUUAUGUUAUCAUCCUAUUAAAUUGAUCUUCAUCGUCUCAUGACGUUCUAGGCUUUGUUGGUGAGUUGCACCCGGACAAGAACAGUGAAAAUGGCAAGCAUGUCCUUUACACGCAUAAAAAUAUUAUUGUUAAAUACAAUAAAGAUCAGGUUUGUGAUUCUCCAUAUCAGAUGUGGCUUUAAUAGUGGGCUUGAGGAUCUAUGAUAUUCAUUAUAGUUUAUAAUUUUGUAGAUCAUUCAUGUGAAUCUCACUCAAGAUAGUCCAAAGCCGUUGGAAGCAGGGAAGAAAUUGGACCUAACUUACUCUGUCAAAUGGAUUGCAACCACUAUCACAUUUGCACGUCGAUUUGAUGUCUAUUUGGACUACCCUUUUUUUGAGCACCAAGUAAUAACUGAUUAUGUGUUUAUAUGUUAACUUAUUUUUAUUUCUGACGCUGACAGCAUAUUAUUCUAAAUUCAGGAGAAUUAAGUCUGCAAGGGAUUUUAACAUUGGCUGCUUAAUAAUGCUUUUUUCUUUUUGGUUUUUUAAUGAGCUGUAUGACCAUUUUGCAAUUUGCAGAUACAUUGGUUCUCGAUUUUCAAUUCAUUCAUGAUGGUUAUUUUCCUUACUGGUUUGGUGUCAAUGAUAUUGAUGCGGACUCUUAGGAAUGACUAUGCAAAGUAUGCUCGGGAAGACGACGAUCUGGAGACUCUGGUAUGAUCUAAUGAUUUUAAUCAUAUCAUCCUUCUUUUAGAUGUUUUGUUAUUUUUCUUAUGUGACGUAGAUAGAGAUACAAUAGAUACCGUCCUUGUGUGGUGACUGGUAACCCUUUUGAAAAUGUGCCUAUUGUAGGAAAGAGAUGUCAGUGAAGAGUCUGGGUGGAAACUUGUGCAUGGGGAUGUUUUUCGGCCUUCUCGAAAUUUGGUUAUUCUUUCAGCCGUUGUUGGCACGGGCGCUCAGCUAGCGUUGCUUGUUCUUCUCGUCAUCUUACUGGCAAUUGUUGGGAUGUUGUAUGUUGGGUAUGUUGACUACUUGCUCAAAAGUACUUGGGAUGCUAUUUUGGGUUUUCCACUUUCCUAGUUUUUUUAUUUAAAUAUUUUUUUAUGAUUUUCGAAAUGUUUAUGUUUGAAUCAUAAAUAUAUAAGUCUUGCAUACUUAUAUGUUGGUGUAAUUAAUAUUAGGCCAGCGAUGCAACACCACACAUUAAUCUUUCCCUGUCUUAGCUCUUAGCUUGUUAUCUGAUUUUGCAUGCUAAAUAGUUAAUUACUAUUUGUGUACCUGGGAAGAAUUGCUAGAACUUUAAUAGAGUAUUAUGUCUUACAUCAUUUUUUAUUUGGUGUCUCAGGAGAGGUGCAAUUGUUACAACUUUCAUAGUGUGUUACGCCCUUACAUCUUUCAUUUCUGGUUAUGUAAGUGGUGGGAUGUAUUCAAGACAUGGUGGUACGUAUUUAAUUUAAUUCAUAUGAUAGAUAUGGUAUUCAUUCUGUUUAAGCCUUCUAACAAAUCACAACAACCUUUGUUUGGAUAUUUCUGAGCUUGUGUUAUUUCUGAAAUAUUAUUCGUUGUUUUAUCAGGUAAAAAUUGGAUAAAGUCAAUGAUACUCACAGCAUCUCUAUUUCCAUUUAUGUGCUUUGGGAUUGGGUUCAUCUUGAACACAAUUGCUAUAUUUUACGGGUCACUGGCUGCUAUUCCUUUUGGUACAAUGGUGGUUGUUUUUGUGAUUUGGGCAUUCAUCUCUUUUCCUCUAGCACUUCUUGGUACAGUUGUUGGAAGAAACUGGAGUGGUGCUCCUAACAAUCCUUGUCGUGUGAAAACCAUUCCUCGUCCUAUUCCUGAGAAGAAAUGGUAUUUAACCCCAUCUGUAGUCUCAUUGAUGGGAGGACUUCUGCCCUUUGGAAGCAUAUUUAUCGAAAUGUAUUUUGUCUUCACAUCCUUCUGGAAUUACAAGGUGAAAUUUCGAUAACUAUGUGCUUUUUAUAGUAUAGACUUGCUGAUUAAUAGAUCUGAGUACCAAAUAACGUUACAAACAUUGGCAGUGCAUGCCAUUCCUUAGACAAAGUUACACUUACAAUAGUUGGUCAUUAUGAGACCAAGCUUGUGAAAAUUGUAGAAGUCACGAAUUUCAUUAGCUGAAUUUUAUGUCUUGAAAGCAAUGAUAGGAAUCAUUUGUUCGUGAAAGACUCAGUGAAGUUCUGUUACAGCACAUAUGAGAAGAUUCUAUAUUGUUGAGAAAGUUGUUAGUCUAUUGUGGCAAAAGUGCAUGAUUGUCGUUGAGUGUUGACGGUGAUUACCAUGAAUGCUAACGUAUUUCUUCGUCUUUGUGUCUUAACAGGUGUAUUAUGUCUAUGGCUUUAUGCUGCUUGUUUUUCUGAUUCUCAUCAUUGUUACUGUGUGCGUGACAAUUGUGGGGACAUACUUCUUGCUUAAUGCUGAGAACUACCACUGGCAAUGGACUUCUUUCUUUUCUGCUGCAUCAACAGCUGUCUACGUGUACUUGUAUUCUAUAUAUUACUACUAUGCAAAGACCAAGAUGUCGGGUUUCUUCCAGACCAGCUUCUAUUUUGGAUACACUUUGAUGUUUUGCCUUGGCUUAGGAAUCCUUUGCGGUGAGUUUUCUCUUAUACACUAACUUGACUUUUAUUUCCACAUCAAGGAUUUAUAGAUGUCAAUUUUUUUGUUCUCGACUCUUCCCACCCAACCAGCAUGGCAGCUGAAAAGUAGCCACUUCAAGGAUUUGUAGAUGUCAAAUUUUUUUUUUUUGCUCAACUCUUGCUCCCACCCAACCAGCAUGGCAGCUGGAAAGUAGGCUAUCAUGUUGUUGGCCUAUGUAUUUAAAGGCGUUUUUACAGUGGUCAUUACUUUGUUGAACCAUAUGCUUGACCUGAGCAUUAGUUGCCUAGUUACUAAGAAGAAAUGUUUCUUCCUGAGUGCCAUAUUCUCCCACGCCUCUUGAUUAUAAACGCUAGAAAAGUAAAAAGUGCCAGAAAAAUGUUUUAAUCUGUGUUUCAUUUGUUUCCUUUUUUGAAUGUGCAGGAGCUGUUGGAUAUCUGGGUUCUAAUUUGUUUGUAAGGAGGAUCUACAGAAACAUCAAGUGCGACUAGAGCAUCUCCGCGAGGAAAUGGACCUGAUGGAGAUUCUCUGAGUAGAUUGGCCGUUGUUGAGGUACGUGGUCAGGGAUGGGGAUCCAGUAACCACUAGAGACUGAAAUCACAGGGUUUGAGGACAGGGAUGUAUUCUUCUCUGGACUCGGUAAAGCCCUGAGAUUUUUUUGUUUUCCCCGGCUGUAAGUGAAAGCCUUAAUUUUAGAUGCAGAGAUUGUUUUAUAAUCUAAGUUAGCGGAUGUCGAACUCCUGUUAUUUCAUUAUUUUCUUUUUUUUCGACCUUUCACAAAUAGGUGCCCCGUUACUCUCCGUCUCCGAAAACGAACCUUUGAUUCUGAGUUAUGUAACGACUUGUGAAUUUUGAUUCCAUCUGUACCUUGCAUAUAUAAGUAUCAUUGUCUGAAACGGUGAAACCACACAUUGUGUCUUUACAUCUUUGCACGAUUUAUUUCGAGUAUUUCUUGUAACUUGUAUGAAUGACAAUUGAUUCCGUAAUAUUUUGUCGUGUCGAUAAGGAAGAUUAAGGAUGAGCAUGUCUCCAGCAAGAGCUGAUAGCAUUUAUGCUCCUUUCCAUGCCGUAAACGAGCUCUGUUUUUCGACCUGCAUUGUACAAAAUUUGCUAUACACUGACAUAAAUCUUUGUAUCAUAAUUAUUUAACUUAAGAUUAUCGCUUUUCAAAUGAAAUCUAGAUCCUCUUCGGAUUUCAGAGUUCAUGGACUGAGUGAUCUGGAUUACUUAUCUUAAAUCUUACGGCUUCCGUUAGUCCAUACUACCAUUCCACCUUACAAGAAUUAGGGGUUCGGAUCUCUCUCCCUCUUCCUCUCUUGAAUAGUUCGGAUUACGAGAUCCGUCAAUUCCGAACUGCGAGAUUUAGAGGGGAUCUGAAUUCUGAAAAUGAUAGCCUCUUGUUUGUUAUACAGGUAAUGCUAUAGUUAAAUCCAUCUUGGUAACUUUAAUUUAACCAGUGGUGUAGAGAAGGACAAGUCCUCUAAUUUUGUAGCUAGGAAGAGUGGAUCUAGUGUUGUAUGUGCGGCCACAUGCUCAUUUCACAUCUUGUGAUCUCCAGUCAAUUUAUGUGGUCAUAAAUGUUUUUCGUUCCCACCUCCACCAACCAAGAGGAGAUGUUAACCUCUGUAUUAUUUACCAGUUUAUUUUAGAACCAAUAUUAAUUAAUUAAUUUUAUCGGAUCUAGUAGCGUGAGCUUGUAACUAAGCAUGACAUUAAGGUGAUUUUGAUUGCUUGUAUGAAAUUUAAUUGAGGUUAUGGUAGUCUUAGUCUGUUCACCUGGCAUGAAAUUACGCAAAACGAGUCCUUCAACCCUUGAGUUAGUAGGAUAAAACUGCGUGUGGGGAUAACACUAACCAUUGAAAUAAGACCAAAAACCUCGUUCAGAGGAGGAUUGUGCCCGCCACGUUCACUCACUCUCUAUGGUCCUGUGGUGAUAAUAAAAAGAUAGAGUGAUCCACAAGAUGUUGCCACGUGGCAGAUAAGGGUUGAUGCCACUUCAUCCUCUCUCUCUCAUUUGUAGCCACUCUAUUUCCACAAACCAUCCCAUUUAUCAACACCGCCAAGGCUUUCACUCCCACUCUCUUUAGCCACAACACAAAAAAGCCUUGCAACCAAAGCAAACCAACAAACAUGGCAGCCACAGCUCUCUCAGGCACCAUGGUCAGCACCUCCUUCAUCCGCGGCCAGCCGAUGACCAGCCUGCGGUUAUCCCCCAACGUCGGUCAGGCCCUUUUCGGGCUCAAGGCCAACCGCGGAGGGCGUGUGGCGAUGGCUGCCUACAAGGUGAAGCUGCUCACACCAGAAGGGCCACAAGAGUUUGAGUGCCCCGACGACGUGUACAUUCUCGACGCGGCGGAGGAGGCCGGGAUUGACCUUCCCUACUCAUGCAGGGCAGGGUCUUGCUCCUCGUGCGCCGGCAAAGUUGUGAGUGGGGGUGUGGAUCAGUCGGACCAGAGCUUUUUGGAUGAUGAGCAGAUGGACGGUGGAUUUGUGCUCACUUGUGUGGCUUAUCCGUCGUCUGACGUCACACUUGAGACCCACAAGGAAGAGGAGCUUACUGGUUAAGUGCUUUUGAGCUUUCUCAUGAUGACGUCAUGUUUUGAUGGCUGCUGGCUGGUUGGAUCUGCCUUAAGUUUGUUUCAGGAUAAGGUUGUCUUGUUUCUAAUUAUAUGAGUUGCUUAAUGUUUUUGUACUCUCAUUUGUGGUAUGGAGAUCAUUGUAUCUUGUAAACUCACCCUUGUAUGAAUCUCUCUCUUUGUUUGGAAGUGCUUUUAGAAUAAUUAGAGGUGCUUUUAGAUAAUUAAAAGUGUUUUUGAGUUGCAAAAGGUUCAAGAAGGAAGAACUUCCCAAUGCUUUUCCACGAAGCACUCUGGUUUUCAUCAAAAAUUUCAAAGUACUUGUAUUAAAAGUGCUUGUGAGCAGGUACCCCAAGUUUUCUAAGUUUAAAAGUGAAGGACAUGUCUUCAAACCAGAUUUGGGAAUCAAUUUUAACAUUGCUUAACAGGACAUUAAGUGUUAAGACCUUGCUUACUAAUCCGUAGUCGGAAUUGUAGGAAUUGAAAUCAGGAGGAGUCGGAAUUGGAUUUUUGUUGAUUCUGGUUACGGAUUAUCAAACACCCCGUAAAAUUAUAUUUCACAAUGCCAAAAAUACAUGUGAAGCCUUCAACUGGCUUCGAAUUCUUGGCGGACAAGUCAAGAACUUCAUGUUUUCUGAAACAAAUCUAAUACAGCAUCCACUUUUUCUUCCACUCGAUUGCCUUCAUCGUCUUCGUCGCUGUUAGUAGGAGGCUGUGAAUCACUCAUUCUUACCGAUUCAGAUAAAUACUCGUGCACUCGAAAUGAGCAUUCAUGCUGAGGUGGUUGAGGUUCGGAAGUGCUGCUGCCGGUGCUCUCUCUCCUUCUCUGUGUGGAUGUGACGGUGUCGUAUGGUGCUGCAAGUCUUCUUCAACCUACUCACAUGGAGAAGCACCGUAUCCUUCCUUUCCGCCAUUCGUUCUUGUAAAUUUAAAAGAUCUAACGGUCCUUUUUUUACUUAAGAAACUGGUAGGAAUAAUAUCAGAAUUUGUUGCAAUACUUCAUCAUCUACUAUGUAGCUAUUCAAUUGCAUCUCUUAAAAUUACGAGAUGGUUCCUUGCUUUUAAGGCCAAAUUACCAUUAGGAUAAUAAUUUUUACUCUUCUUGAUAACGUAGUAUUCAAGCGGGUACUUCACAUUUCAUAAAAUAAGUCAACUGAAACGGAAAAUAUAUCAUUUUCUUUACGUGUUGAUAUUUCUAUGAAAUGUUCUCAAUUUCUCACAAAAUUAGUGCUUGUGAAAAGAAAAUUAUUUUAAUGUGCGAACCAAUUUGUGUCAUGUAACACUUCACUAGAUUGACAUGAACACGAUACAUACGACUUGUCUAUUAGGUUUAGAUUCAACUAAUUAAAAAUCAAAUUCUCCACUACUUAGUAAUAAAGAUCUAGUAGUAUUUAUUUUCACUUAUAAAUGAGAGAUUUUAGUGUAAAUAUUACGUUAAAAAAAAUCAGGACUCCAAAAUGUAUUCUUGACCAAAGAAAAAAGUGUUUCUUUCAGAAAACAGUUCAAGUGUUUUUUAAAGAUUUAAUUGCAUUUUGACUAAAAUAUAGUUCAGAAAAUAUUUUAUUAAAAACGCUUUCAACCAUUUUAAAAACACUUUCAGCCACUUAGUACUACGAUAUAGUGGUAUUCUUCUUCACUAAUAAGUGAGAGGUUCUAUGUUCAAUUCUCGUUAAAGGCGAAUUUGAACUACAUUAUUGUUAGUUCAUUGUGAGGCUAAACACACAUCACUCCUACUGUGUAUAAUAUAUCAAUUAUUCAAAAUAUAGAUAAUAUCGAUUGUUAAAAAAAAAAAUUGAAAAUUGAAGGGCAAAACCGAAAUUCUAGGAAGAAUAAAUGAUGCGCGCGUGCAGGAUUUGGGGUUAAUGUACACUGAGCAGCGAACCCUUUUCUUCUCUAAAACCCCGAACAGGCCAAAAUUCUCAAAACCCUAGCCAUGGCGCUGAGCUCUCUCCGCCUCCGCCGAACCCUAAGCGGUCUCUCCACUCUCAACCGCUCUCUCUCCACAACCUCCGCACUCUCAGCUCUACACUCCUCUUCCUCUCCUCUACUUCGCGCCCCCACCUCAGAAAAAUCCCCUGCAUCGCCGCAACAGUCCUGGAGGCUCCUCCUCCAGUCUCGGACUUUCAGGUCGUCGUCGGUUUCCUCCGCACGGCCGGCGUCUUACGGAAACAACCAAAAGGACGAGAUUGACCCGAAUACGGUACUGUUUGAAGGGUGCGAUUACAACCACUGGCUGAUCGUCAUGGAUUUCCCGAGAGACAACAAGCCUCCGGCUGAAGAGAUGAUCAGGAAUUAUGAGGAGACUUGUGCUAAAGGCUUGAACAUCAGGUCUCUCUCUCUCUACGUGUUUAUGUUUAUUGUAUUUGAUUUUAUAAUAUGUUUGGUUACUAAGAAAAUUUGGGGUAAAAUUACAUUUGUGAACGAAAUUGUUAAUUUUGAGCUUGGUUGUGUAGUUUCUGUGGUAAUCGCCUUGAGCCCUUAAAGGAACUGAUAAGAUGUUACACUGUCUUGCCUAUGAAAUAUUUUACUUUUAGAAAGAAAGAAGGGGAGGGGAAUGAAUUCGUUUGACGAUGUUAGUUCUUUUCGGGUCUUUUCGAUAGUUGCCGAUUAUCGAAUGUAAUUCUGAUUGGUCUUACUAUAGAUAUAUUAUUGGCUAUAUGUGUAUUGCUUAUCAACCAUUUGCUGGGUCCUGGAUGCGAUUCUGUUAAUGCUACUAGUUCCUUGGCGUGUUUUCGGCUAGCUUUAUGUUUGCAGCAGUACUGUAUGCAUUGGAUUUUUCUUCUCUUAAGUUUUAUUGUUAUUCAGUGUGGAAGAGGCAAAAAAGAAGAUGUAUGCUUGUAGCACUACAACAUACAGGCUUUCAGGUUGAGAUGUCUGAGGAAGAGUCACAGAAGUUCGAAGGUAAGUUUUGGAUAGCAUUCUGCGUUACCAUUGAAAAUGAUAGUCUUGAAUCCUGCUAACUUCUCCGUUCGACAUUUAACAGGUUUACCUGGAGUAGUGUUUGUGUUGCCAGAUUCUUACCUUGAUGUACAGAACAAGGAGUAUGGAGGUUAGAUUUUAAUGAUCAUGUUCUUUGAGAAUAGCGGGUUGCAAAUUUAUCGGCAGAUUCAACCAGUUAUGCUGUUUUGGAUUGGAGAGUUGUAAACAAAUGAGCUAGUCCAUCCAUAUCUAGCAUUUUAAUUUAUUUAAGUUGUUUUUGAUAAAUAUCAGGAGACAAAUACAUUAAUGGUACAAUCAUACCAAGACCACCCCCAGUUCAGUAUGGAAGGCAGCAGGGCAGAUUCCGUGAUAAUAACAGGAACCGUGACCAACAAAGAUAUGAUCAGCAACGACCAUCGUAUAAUCCGCCAGGCAAUCCCUCCUAUAGUCAACAGGGUGCUAUGCAAGGUGGAGGGAACUAUGAGGCAUCACAAAAUUAUCCACAACAAAAUUAUAGGUCACCAAGACAAGGAGAGAACACAGGUCCUAUUCCAGUGAAUACCCCCGGAGCGAGGGAUGCUUAUCAGCCAGGCAGAGAUCCAGUACCUUCAUAUCAGGGCAAUUACAACCAAGGUGGGCAGCAAGGUUAUCGUCCCGAAGAACACAGGAACUUCCCACAAGGAGAUCAGAGGAAUUAUGCUCCUCCUGGUCAGCAGGGAUUUAGGGGAGAAAAUAGGAAUUAUGGCCCCCCACAUGCUGAUACCAGUGGGCAAGGUUUGAGUGGAUUUCAAGGACAGGGAACACCUGGAGCUUAUGGACAAGGGCCGAGCUCUGGAGCUUAUGGGCAAGGGCCAAGCUCUGGAGCUUAUGGGGCAAGGGCCAAGCUCUGGAACUUAUGGGCAAGGACCGAGCACUGGAGCUUAUGGGCAAGGACCGAGCACUGGAUCUUAUGGACAAGGACCGAGCACUGGAGCUUAUGGACAAGGACCGAACCCUGGGGCUUAUGGCCAAGGACCGGCAUCUGGUAAUGGCCAGAGAUACCCUGGGCAUGGAGGAGAUGACAGGUUCCAACAAAGUAACUAUGUACCCGUGGGACAGGCAGGGAUUAACCAAGUAAGAUAUCCACUGUUUAUGAAUCUUUAACUUGUGGAGUAUCAUUACAAUUUGAGCAUGAGAUGAGAAAUUGAUGGAAUUUUCUGCAAAUUUUAGAUAGCUCAUGGUUAUUGGUUUUUGCAGGGGAAAAAUUAUUGAUGACAUGCCAGUGCCACUCAAGACAAGACGAUGCAAGAAGGGAUGUAGGAAGACGAGUUAUAAUCGGUGUAUUUCUCAUGUUUGAUCUGAUGGGAAGGGAGAUUAUUUGUCCUCCUGAAGUCUUUCCGUGGUAAAUAAUCUGCCAAAUUCCUUUUGUGAAUCCUCUUUCGUAGUGAAAUGAGACGGUGAAGCUUAUCUUGUUGCAGUAGUUUUUGAAACUUCUAUUGGGACUCUGGUGAUUUAGACUUACAUAAGGUUGGUUCCAACGGUCUUCGUAAUAUAUUAAAUAUUGCUUGAAAACGAUAAUUGAGAUUGGUGAUUGAUUAGUUUGAACUCAAUUACGUGCGUAAUGAAAGCUUUCCGGUACCACCAAGUGCUCCCUGCGCUCCCAUUUCCAUCCCCUGGGAUGGAAAGCGGCGGCAGAGCCGCUGCAGACUUGCAGCUUCAUGGUGGAUGAUAACCAACAAAAACAGAAAUUACGGGGUAGAAGAACCCCAGUUUAUUACCCGAUUUAGUUGUUCUAUGGGAAACGCCCUGGAACUGGACAAGCUUCCUCUGGUACAUGACCGGGAAGAGAAAGUGCUACAAAGAAAAGAAAGGUUUUCCGAGGGCAUUACAUUUUCGAGUGGAUAUUCAACAAGUUUCUUAAAGUUUUGGAAAAAUAAAAUUCAAAAUGCAAAAUUAAAGUUAGGUUGGUGUUUAGGUGGGCGCCUAAGCAGGUUUAGGUGUCAUUUCUUAAUUUUUAAAUGCCUAGGACUAAUCGGGUUGCUGGCCAGCCGACUACUGUUUAAAUGAGACCUAGGCUGCGCUAGACGGAGAUUUUUAGAACAAUGCAUUCAUGUAACUUGAACUUAAAACCUCUCGUGUAAACCUCAAGCAGCCAUAAGGUCCUCAGCUUUCCUGAAAACCUGUGCAAAUCAAUUUUCAUUUUUUCUGUAACAAGGUUUCUUGUCAAAAACUCCGCCUAUGUCUUACAUGGCCGGUCCCAAGCCCGGAUAAAGGAGGAGGGGGAGGGCGUCAGGUAGUCGACAGCCGGCACUCCAUGAUCACGUCGAAUCCUUAUGAAAAUGAAUCAAGAACAAAAUCGCGCUAAAGCUAGGGCGUCAUCCGUAAGUGGCGCGCUGUGUGGCCUGAGCACAGUGAUAAGUGAGCAAGGGUCGCUGUAUCUCCAUCGGCACCCGGAUGCAGUGUUAAAUGAGUAAGGGGGCCAUAGAAACUUCUUUUCGAACUCCACUCAAAGUUGUUUGGGAGCAUAUGCUCUUAUCAACUUUACCCGGGACACACAAAAGAAGUACUUUGAUCCUAUUAGACGGGGGAGGGUGAAGAAGCUAGGACAGAAGGGUAGAGUUCAAGAGAGCAAAAUGCGUUUAGGAACGUGGAAUAUAGGAACCUUAACGGGAAAAUCUAUGGAAGUAGUGGAAGUUAUGGUGAGGAGAAGGAUAAAUAUUAUGUGCCUACAAGAAACUAAGUGGGUUGGUAGUAAGGCAAAGGAUCUAGAAAACUCAGGGUUUAAACUUUGGUAUUCGGGCACAAAUAGAACGAGAAACGGUGUUGGCAUCAUCGUGGACAAGACCUUGGUACAAGAUGUUGUAGAUGUCAAGAGGGUAGGAGAUAGAAUCAUGGCAAUCAAGAUUGUAAUAGGACAAGAACUUAUCAAUGUGAUUAGUGCGUACGCACCUCAAGUAGGGUUGGAUACGAGUUCGAAGGAGAAAUUUUGGGAAGAUCUUGGAGACUUGGUGCAAGGAAUUGCUCAGAUGGAGAAGUUAUUUAUAAGAGGAGAUUUAAAUGGACACGUGGGCAGGGAGACAGGCAACUAUGGAGGUUUUCAUGGUGGCCAUGGUUUUGGGGAGAGAAACGAGGAUGGGGAAGCUAUCUUGGAUUUUGCAAUGGCAUAUGAUCUCUUCUUAGCCAACACCUUCUUUAAGAAGAGAGAAGAACAUGUGAUCACCUACAAGAGUGGGUCGUCAAAAACACAAAUAGAUUUUCUUCUAAUGAGGAAAGGGGAUCGUAUAACUUGUAAGGAUUGCAAAGUUAUACCAGGAGAGAGCGUGGCUAAUCAACAUCGCUUGUUGGUGAUGGAUGUACAUAUCAAAAAGAGUAAGACAAAAGAACAAGACUUGGAAGUGCCCAAGGACUAGAUGGUGGAAUCUAAAAGAAGAAAAAACAAGCCAUUUUCAAAAAGAGAAGGUAAUCACCCAAUGUGUGUGGGAUAGAGAGGGGGAAGCUAGCCAAAUGUGGGAUUCCAUGGCUAGUUGUAUCCGAAAAGUAGCAAAAGAGGUAUUAGGAGAGUCCAAGGGCUUUGCCCCACACCAAAAGGAAUCUUGGUGGUGGAAUGAGGAGGUACAAACAAAGGUGAAGGCUAAGAAGGAAUGUUGUAAAGCCUUAUACAAGGAGAUGACUGAUGAAAAUGGUGAAAGGUAUAGAAAAGCGAAGCAAGAGGCGAAGAAAGCUGUCAGAGAAGCUAAGUUAGGGGCUUACGACGAUAUGUAUAAACGACUAGAUACCAAAGAAGGAGAGUUGGAUAUCUAUAAACUAUCUAGAGCAAGGGAAAAGAAGACAAGGGACCUAAACCAAGUGAGGUGCAUCAAGGAUGAGGAUGGAAAGGUUCUUGCUACAGAGAACGCGGUUAAAGACAGAUGGAGAGGUUAUUUUCAUAAUCUUUUCAAUGAAGGACAUGAAAUGAGUGCUUCUUUAGGGGAGUUGAGUAACUCAGAAGAGUGUAGAAACUACUCUUUUUAUCGUCGAAUCCGGAAGGAAGAAGUGGUUGUAGCUUUGAAGAAGAUGAAGCAUAAAAAAGCAAUAGGCCCAGACGAUAUACCAAUCGAAGUGUGGAAACUUUUGGGAGAGACAGGUAUAACAUGGCUCACUGACCUUUUUAAUAGGAUUUUGAAAAUGAAGAAGAUGCCAAAUGAGUGGCGAAUGAGCACUUUGGUGCCUAUCUACAAGAAUAAGGGCGACGUACAAAAUUGCAUGAACUAUAGGGGUAUUAAGCUAAUGAGUCAUACAAUGAAGCUCUGGGAGAGAGUCAUUGAGCAUAGAUUGAGGCAAGAGACACGGGUUUCGGACAACCAAUUCGGGUUCAUGCCAGGGCGCUCAACCAUGGAGGCAAUCUAUCUCUUACGAAGAUUGAUGGAAAGAUAUAGAGAUGGGAAAAAGGAUUUACACAUGGUCUUUAUAGAUUUGGAAAAAGCGUAUGAUAGGGUCCCAAGAGACAUUCUUUGGAGGAUUUUAGAGAAGAAAGGAGUACGAGUAGCAUAUAUCCAAGCUAUAAAGGAUAUGUAUGAAGGAGUAAAGACUGCCGUAAGAACUCAUGAAGGACAAACCGAAAGCUUUCCCAUAACUGUAGGAUUACAUCAAGGCUCAUCCUUAAGUCCUUACCUUUUUGCGUUGGUAAUGGAUGAGUUAACACGACAUAUUCAAGAUGAUAUUCCUUGGUGUAUGCUUUUCGCAGACGAUAUAGUGUUGAUAGAUGAAACUCAGGAAGGGGUAAAUGCAAAGCUUAACCUUUGGAGAGAAGUGUUGGAAUCUAAAGGUCUUCGCCUAAGCCGAUCAAAGACAGAAUAUAUGGAGUGCAAGUUCAGUGCAAAUGGAGGCCAAAACGAGUUAGGGGUGAGGAUCGGAGAUCAAGAAAUACCAAAGAGCGACCGUUUUCGUUACCUAGGAUCUAUCUUGCAAAAGAACGGAGAAUUAGAUGGAGAUCUCAACCAUAGAAUACAAGCUGGAUGGAUGAAGUGGAAGAGUGCAUCCGGCGUGUUGUGUGACCGCCGUAUGCCACUGAAGCUCAAGGGAAAAUUUUAUAGGACGGCAAUAAGGCCGGCGAUGCUGUAUGGCACAGAAUGUUAGGCGGUGAAACAUCAACACGUACACAAAAUGGGUGUAGCGGAGAUGAGGAUGCUUCGUUGGAUGUGUGGGCACACGAGAAAGGAUAAGAUUAGGAAUGAGGAUAUCCGGGGUAAAGUAGGAGUAGCCGAAAUUGAAGGAAAGAUGAGAGAAAAUCGGUUACGGUGGUUUGGACAUGUGCAAAGAAGGCCUACUGACGUUCCGAUUAGAAGAUGCGACUAUGGGACAGAGGUUCAGGGCUGAAGGGGUAGAGGAAGACCUAGGAAAACUUUGGAAGAGACUCUAAGAAAAGACUUAGAGUACUUGGAUCUAACGAAGGACAUGACACAGGAUCGAGCACAAUGGCGUUCUAAGAUUCAUAUAGCCGAUCCCACUCAGUGACUUGGAUUUUCCAAGUCUCCAACCGAGAAGUUUUCCUCACUCGGGAAAUUAAGGGAACACUACCCCAACCUACAUGCUCCACUCAGAAAGCUUCAACAUACAAGCUUUAACAAAAGAAAAUUCAAAGAACUUAGCGAAAAAGGCUUUGGUGUAUUUAACACAAUACGUUGAAAUGAAGGAAAGCUUAUUUAUUGAUAUCCCCGAUAAGCUACAAAUAUGUACAUAUACAUGAGUCAAAAUAAGCACACAAGAGGGAGCCUUCACAAAGGUUGCUUAGGAGAAGUCUCAGCAGUCGGUAGAGCCCCAGAAAGAGAAGGCACCGGAGGGGGAUCAUUUGGAGCCUCAGUACUGGACAGAACCCUAAAAGGAGGAGGCAUCAGAGAGGUUGAUCAUUUGGAGCUUCAUUACGCGGUACAGCCCCAGAAGACGAAGGCAAUAAAUGCCUUUGGAACAAACCCACAAAUCUCUGAUGAUCAAGUAAAACCUGACCAUCAGUUUCCUUCAUCUGGUCAAGCUUCCUCUUCAUGUUUGUAGCAUAGUCAUGUGCGAGCCGGUGCAACUGUUUAUUCUCAUGCUUGAGCCCUCUAAUCUCCUGUUUGAGACUCAUCACUUCAGCCACCAAUGAUUCAACUUGGCGGGUUCGAGCAAAUAGGCGUUGGGCCAUAUUAGACACAGAACCUGCACACUGAACACUGAGAGCCAGCGAAUCCUUAACAGCUAACUCAUCAGACCGUUUGGAAAGUAGUCUGUUAUCUUUGGGAGUGAGAAGGUUCCUGGCCACCACCGCAGCGGUCAUAUCAUUCUUCAUCACGGAAUCCCCAACGGUAAGAGGACCAGUAGGGGAGACGAAGGAUGGGCGCCAUAUGUUGUCUGGAGAAGGCGGGGCUGCCUCUUUAACAAGGUUCAAGUCAAAACGACGGUCGGAGGGGCCAGACAUUUUCAAAGGUGUUGAAGAGAGAAGAGGUCGGACAAAUCAAGAUCUUAGAAGUGCAAGAAUGAAGCUUCUACUGGUGGAGAUUCAAGUGUGCUUUGGAACUUAAUGCCAGCCCCUAUAAAAAUCUGCACUCGACGAAGCUUCAGAAAUCGAAGAGGCGCCUGCUCAGAAAUCGAAGAGGCGUUUGCUUUCUCAAAAGCUGGGCUGCUUAGAGAUCACGAGGGUUGAUCUCAGAAAUCGAAGAGGCGUUUGCUUUCUCAAAAGUUGGGCUGCUCAAAGACCACGAAGGCCGAUCUCAAAAAUCGAAGAGGCGCUCGCUUUCUCAAAAGCUGGGCUCCCCAGAGACCACGAGGGCCGAUCUCAGAAAUCGAAGAGGCACCUACUUUUCCAGCCUUUUCCAGCCUUGUCAGCACCUGUCACACGCACACUCAGUUUUGCGGAAAUUAUGGGCAUUCUGUCAAAGACUUCUGGGGAAGUAGAAAACACAUGAAUCUUACUGUUCAAUCACCCACUUCCCACACGCAACAAUAGCUCAUGGGUACCACAGAUAACUUUGCCAAAGUUCUCUGCCAAAGUUGAGCACGUGAAGCUUGCAGCUCCCACUACAUCGCUCUGACCAAGAAGGGUAAAAGAAUAGCAAAGAAACAGCACUAACAAAGUUUAGACCCAUAAAUUUUGAAGGUCUAGCUACCAUAUUAUUACCCACAAGGGUAAAGGAACAGUACCACUGCUGGAUAAUUGGAAAGUCCCUGUGUGUCAACCUCUGUGCUUCGUGGCAAGGUAGACUAGCAAACAUGCCCAACCUUUACUCACAUUCGAGAAAACAGUCCCAAUAAGAUUGCUUGCUCCAAAAUCGAAGAGGCACCGUCCUCCGAAUCUCGAGAGCCAGACUCCCAACAUGACUACUUUCUUAAAAAUCGAAGAGAGGGUAAAGGAACAGUACCAUUGCUGGAUAAUUGGAAAGUCCCUGUGUGUCAACCUCUGUGCUUCGUGGCAAGGUAGACUAGCAAACAUGCCCAACCUUUACUCACAUUCGAGAAAACACUCCCAACAAGAUUGCUUGCUCCAAAAUCGAAGAGGCACCGCCCUCCGAAUCUCGAGAGCCAGACUCCCAACAUGAUUACUUUCUCAAAAAUCGAAGAGACACUGCUCCCCGAAUCUCGAGAGCCAGACCCCCAGCAUGAUUGCUUUCUCAAAAAUCGAUGAGGCAUCGUUCUCCGAAUCAAUCGAAGAGGCGCUCGCUUUCUCAAAAGCUGGGCUGCUCAGAGACCACGAGGGCCUAUCUCAGAAAUCGAAGAGGCACCUACUUUUCUAGCCUUGUCAGCACCUGUCACACGCACACUCAGCUUUGCAGAAAUUAUGGGCAUUCUGUUGAAGACUUCUGGUGAAGUAGAAAGCACAUGAAUCUUACUGUUCAAUCACCCACUUCCCACACGCAACAAUAGCUCAUGGGUACCACAAAUAACUUUGCCAAAGUUCUCUGCCAAAGUUGAGCACGUGAAGCUUGCAGCUCCCACUACAUCGCUCUGACCAAGAAAGGUAAAAGAAUAGCAAAGAAACAGCACUAACAAAAGUUUAGACACAUAAAUUUUGAAGGUCUAGCUACCAUAUUAUUACCCACAACUGUAAAGGAACAGUACCACUGCUGGAUAAUUGGAAAGUCCCUGUGUGUCAACCUCUGUGCUUCGUGGCAAGGUAGACUAGCAAACAUGCCCAACCUUUACUCACAUUCGAGAAAACACUCCCAAUAAGAUUGCUUGCUCCAAAAUCGAAGAGGCACCGUCCUCCGAAUCUCGAGAGCCAGACUCCCAACAUGACUACUUUCUCAAAAUCGAAGAGAGGGUAAAGGAACAAUACCAUUGCUGGAUAAUUAGAAAGUCCUUGUGUGUCAACCUUUGUGCUUCGUGGCAAGGUAGACUAGCAAACAUGCCCAACCUUUACUCACAUUCGAGACAACACUCCCAACAAGAUUGCUUGCUCCAAAAUCGAAGAGGCACCGCCCUCCGAAUCUCGAGAGCCAGACUCCCAACAUGAUUACUUCCUCAAAAAUCGAAGAGACACUGCUCUCCGAAUCUCGAGAGUCAUACCCCCAGCAUGAUUGCUUUCUCAAAAAUCGAAGAGGCAUCGUUCUCCGAAUCUCGAGAGCCAGAUACCACAGACCACUUUUUCAAAAUGCUCUGACAGAGUUAAAACAUGUGAAACUGGCAGCUCCCACUACCGUGCUAUGACCAAGCAGGGUAAAGGAAUAGCAUUACUACUUGUUGUUAGGGAGACUCCUAUAUAUGUCGACCUCUAUCCCCAACGGACAGGCAGACCUGCAAAAAUGCUCAACCCUUCAUCAUAUCUGAGAGGGCACUCCCAACGAAGCCUUUGGAAAUAUUCAGCUUUCUUUCCCCCCGAUAAUACCUCUGCAAACAAGCUAUACUAGAGCAAGAAUAUCUCAUAUCAUCAGGGUUAAAAGUAAGAGUAUCCCAUAUCAUGCUUUUUCCCUGUCUUUUCUUUUGGCCUUGUUUUUACCUGCAAGACAAGGAGAAAGAGAGCAAUCAGUCAGCACUUGGAAUCAAGCUUCCAGCCAGGAACUGACUGCCUGGAAACCCUUACCUGAUUACUUACCUGGCAUUGCUUUCGAGUACUCAUCUUCAACAUCUUAUGUUUCCAGGGAAGAUUCCGCAUCUGCUUGAGGAACAGAGAGGGCAAGUGCGAAGGAUACAAGGAAGCAUGUGGAGACAAGCGUAACAGCACACGUGCCGAUACAUUCAUUACUCUGUCAAAAGCAAAAGUAUCCCAUAUCAGCAGGGUGGAACGUACUCUAGAUUUGAUGGACUUGUUUUGACCCUCAAAUUCUUCAGUCGGCCUUAUACUCUGGAGGAAACCAGAAAUCCCUCCAGCUCAGUUCAAGAAUAAGCCUGUGGAAAGUUACUUCUUCAAAAGCAAAAGUAUCUCAUAUCAUCUCUUCUCAUUUUUCUUCUCUUUAUCCUUCAUGCUGCUGCAAGAUGGGGAGAAGGUGAACAAUCAGUCGGAGCUCUGAUUGCUUACCUUGUCUGUCACCUCUUUCAGCAGACCCCCUAGCUCGGCGACUUGGGGGACUCCUACUACAUGGUUUGUAUCGCGCUUGACCAAGCCUGAAACUACAAGUAAGCUUCAAGUGAAAUUGAUACAUUACCUUGUGCAUCUCCACCAGUUAAAGAUACCACCCCUGGAUGGAGGAAGAGUACUUCCAGAGAAGAUGCCACAUCUACCUAUGAGACAGAUAAGGCAAGUCAAGACGACACCACACUCCGAUACUUAGAAGUUUCGUGAUUACGAGAUCAUUCUCCCACAAUAUUUCCUAAUGUCAUUUGUACUAAAUCAUUCACUUGUACUCACUAAAUAAGAGAUUGAACCUAUGUACUUGUGUAAACCCUUCACAAUUAAUGAGAACUCUUCUAUUCCGUGGACGUAGCCAAUCUGGGUGAACCACGUACAUCUUGUGUUUGCUUUCCUAUCUCUAUCCAUUUAUAUACUUAUCCACACUAAUGACCGGAGCAAUCUAGCGAAGAUCACAAAAAGCGAUCGUUUUCGCUACCUAGGAUCUAUCUUGCAAGAGAAUGGAGAAUUAGAUGGAGAUCUCAACCAUAGAAUACGAGCUGGAUGGAAAGAGUGCAUCCGGCGUGUUGUGUGACCGUCGUAGGCCACUGAAGCUCAAGGGAAAAUUUUAUAGGACGGCAAUAAGGCUAGCGAUGUUGUAUGGCACAGAAUGUUGGGUGGUGAAGCAUCAACACGUACACAAAAUGGGUGUAGCGGAGAUGAGGAUGCUUCGUGGGAUGUGUGGGCACACGAGAAAGGAUAAGAUUGGGAAUGAGGAUAUCCGAGGUAAAGUAGGAGUAGCCGAAAUUGUAGGAAAGAUGAGAGAAAAUCGGCUCCGGUGAUUUUGGACAUGUGCAAAGAAGGCCGACUGACGCUCCGGUUUGAAGAUGUGACUACGGGACAGAGGUUCAGGGCCGAAGGGGUAGAGGAAGACCUAGGACAACUUUGGAAGAGACUCUAAGAAAAGACUUAGAGUACUUGGAUCUAACGGAGGACAUGACACAAAACCGAGCGCAAUGGCGUUCUAGGAUUCAUAUAGCCGACCCCACUUAGUGGGAAAAUGCUUUGUUGUUGUUGUUGUAAGGUUUCUUGUCAAAGUUAUAAAAAGAAAUGUAAUUCCACCUGGAUGCAUACCAACAAAGGAGAAAAAAGAAUGCUGAGAGCUUUAAAAGUUAUCUCAGUGUUUUUAAGAAAACUGAAGAGAACUUAAACCCUCUUGGCCAACAUAUAAAUACAAGUCAGGAGCCUCUCACCAAUCCCCAGCAUCGACGGUCAUUUUUGCGACACGAUUCCCACACCCGAUGCUCCUUGUGCGUAGAGUCCUGCCGCCGCCCGCUGUAUCAAUUUCAUCGUACCAUCUUACAUUGGUUGUUCGCUCCUAAGAACAUGAUAUCAAGCUUUCGCUGCAUUACUUGUCUGAAGAGUCAUUUUUAUGUUCAUUGAUGCCAACUCAGCAGCUAAAUAUCUGAAGACAUAAGGCAUUGCAACUGUCUCCAUCCCUUUACUUGUGUUACAAGCAUGGCAGCUGACCUUCUUGGGAGCUCUUACAGGGGGAAUUCCUGAAACCGCACGCACAACCCGUUUUGGUUGGACGAAUGAGGACGUUAGGAUGCUUCCACAUAUGAAGCCUGUCAUGCAACAGAUAUGCUGCCCCGUGCGCAAGCAUGGAGUCCCUCUCCAUUUCGCCAAAACGUAUACCACCACCUCACUUUCGUCCCGUGAUAGGCUGGCGAGUGAUCUGGUCUACCGUUCCAGUGGAGCGUACCUGCACGCCAAAUCGAGUACCACAUGUAAGGCAACUGAUGAUAAAAAUUGGGACACUGAGAAAAUCUUGAAAGCUCGUGUAGUUAUAAAACUUGAAAUUGGUCGAAUCUUUACCUGAAAUUUGUCUGAAACCAUAUGUCGUAGUUGUUGAUAAUAAACAGGGCCAAUAAAGUGAGUUCUGUGCCAUAAUCCCCGCUGUACAGAACCUCUACACCAUGGUAGUUAAACCUCUUAACCUUCAACAAUUCGCCAAGUUCAUCAACAAGGGUUUUGGAUUUUGGUCCAGUCUCUCCAUUAGCGUUCUUUGAACUAGCAAAUGGUGUUGCGUCAACAUAAUGUCCAUGUAAGCUACCACCAUGUGACAAGAAAUGUUCAAGGUUAAGGGGUUUAACUACAGGAGUGUACAGGUAGUGCAAUUUUUCAGCAACUGUUAACAACAUACAGUAAAAAUUAAAUUGUUUAGGUUCAAGUACCUUUGCAGCAACCGAUUCCAACAGCAUAGCUAUCGUCAUUCUAGAAGGAAAUUUAUCACCAAUGAUAGGGUUUCUAGUGUGUCGAAAGCGUAUGUUUGCCUGCACAAGAACGGUAUAAUGUUAUGGCAUAUAAUAAGUUAUGGGAUAAACAUUUUAACAAUGAUUGACCCAGAGUUAUGAUGAUAACUAGAGAUAUUCAACGAAACAUUAGGAAAAGUAAUGAACAAAUCUCCCAUGUUAUUAAGUCAUAAAUACGGAGCAUCUGCAGAAUUGCAGAUACAUUAAUCCCAAAGUAAGUAUACCUAUGGGAAACAUGGCUAUUAGCAAUCAUUAAACCCAAGAUUUAAUGUAGUCCCUAGAGACAAAUUCUUUCCUCAUUUGGUCACACAAAAUUGAUAGAAAUUAAUAGAGAAGUGAGGGGGACAAAAACCUUAAACUAAAUCUUUUUCUGUGCAAUCGCAAACCAAAUAAGGUAAACGUAGAUGAGCUUAAAGUUGACUCUCAUUUCUCCAUUGGCAAGCAAAACAUGGUCCAUAAAGACAAUACAAAAUAGGUACAAGCAAUCAUCAAGCACAGUUAUCAAUUAGCUAUAUAUUGCGAUUCGAUAUAUUCAGACUUUUCAAAUCCAGUCUCCGAGAUCCAAAAUUAGGAACCAAAGUAAAUGUUGUCCACUUACCUUUUGAAGGAGCUUCUUCCCAUCAAUAGCAACAUAGUCAACUAUAACGGGUUCUGUACCUUUCCGUUUGAUGGCUCUGGGCUUAUGGAGUGUGGCAUUGGUAAAGCUAUAGUAUUCUUCAUAUGGUUUUAUUGUCUGAAAUGCAACAGAGAAUAAAGUUGAGUACAGAAUUGCAACCACAUAUGUACUAUAUAUACAUUUAUAUUGUAUGAGAUUUUAGGCUUCAACUCUCGGGUUUUGAACUCUGUAAAACCCAAAAGUAAUGACCUAAAAUCUAAGCAAUAACAGGUGCCAGGGAAAAACUUGCACUUCCAGUCCGUCAACUGGCCAGAGGCUGCAUUAGGACACCAAUCAUUAAGUCAGUCGACUGGCCAGAAGCUUGCAUCUUGGACAAAUCUCACAUCAACAGUUGCACUGCCAUGAUCCUAACUUUCUGUGUUCAACAUAAUGCAGGAGAAUAUAGAGCACAAACUAAAAUCCAGAAAUGAAUGCUAACCUGACCAACAUAAGGAAGACCAUCUGAAUCAAUCAAAGGAUUUUUAUCGACGUUACUUUUCUUAAAAAAUGUUGGGGUGUUAUCCGACCUCUUCUUUUGAUCAGACGAGUCUAUUGUUUCUGUCUGCCAAAACACAUCAUUUGGUAAGCAAGAGUAUUUAGGUCCAAGAAGAAAACCAUAUGCAUUAGUAAAGACAUUGAUUUGGUAUACAAAAGCAUAAAAGAAUAAAAGAAAAAUAAAAUUCCUGAAAUUUCUGUUAAAGCUUUCAACAUACACAAUAAGAAACAAGAAUAAAUUCAUGUAUACAAAACGCAUUUGGCCAAAUGAAUACAAGAUUUUCUAAUAGAUUCCAUCAAGAACAAAAUCUCCAUCACUUUGUUCGGCCCUGCAGGAUGAUUAUUUAGAAAUUUUUGUGUGGACUCCAAUUUAGUAAUAUGAAUAAACUACUAAGCUGCAUGGAUUUUUAAGGUGCACAUUCUUAUAAUUUGUAAUAUGCCCUUGAGGCUCAAACUCAUAUUUCUCGAAACGAGCUAUACAGGAAUGUGAAAAAAAAAUUUAGCGGUAGGAUUCCAAAAAAUUUAUACAAGAUGGAACUUCUGUUGAACAAUAACCAAGGACAGACAGGAGGGUAAAACAGAAAAGACCCUGACACUGAUACAUAUUCAUGGGCUCUGAUUAUGAUCUGACCAGGGUGUAAGAUUAGCGACCACACUGAGCAUUCCAGUUGGAUGAAUUUCUUCAUGAGUUGCUGGGAAACCAUCUUUCCUUCCACCAUCUCGACCAUCAGGACAUCUUAUUUCCAUGAAAACCUAAUAGCACAUGGAGAAACCAGAUAGUCAUACUUUUAGGGUCUGAUCAUAAUAAGCACCUGACUAUCAAAGCAGAAAAAUGAUAAACGAUAAUUCUUAUCAUGGCAGAAAACAUAAUGUGGGUAAAAAAAUUAUUAAAAGAAAAACCAUAUUUACCUGUUCAAGGGGUCCAAUAAGUUCAAUAUUCUGACCUCCAACGGAAGGAAUUGAAAUGUUCUUUACUGGCCGAACAAAUCUAGAAGGGAUAGUGAAAAGGUACAGACCAGGAUAUGCCCCACUCAUGCUUAAGAGCAGUUUCAUCGCCCAGUGAACAGUAACUAUCUUUUGCAUCUCUACUCUACACUGAAUAGCUUUGACAAUAGGCAAUAAAAUAUUAGUAUUUUUUAAAUUUAUAAAAUAAUACAAAAUAAUUUAAUUUGUAAUUUCGGAUAAGAUUUUUAAUCGUUCUCAUUGUGCCACGUGUCAUUAUCCAAAAAGACAAUUAUUGGUGAUGGAUUUCGAUAAGAUUUUUAUUCAAUGUUGUCGUGCCACGUGUUGUUACCUUUUCAGAAUCGUUGAGGAUAGAUUUCCGAUAAUAUUUUUAACCAAUCACGUCGUACCACGUGUCAUAAUCUGUUUACAAUAUUUGAGGAUAGAUUUCGAUCAAAUUUUUAAUGAAUGACGGCAUGCAACGUGGCAUUAUCUACAACCUAAUCAUUUCUGAAUCCUCCAUAUAAUCCACCAUCCAUCCUCAGAAAUCUCACACCAAUUUUCUGAAGAUCUCUAUCAUUAUUCAUAGUUCCUUCUUCAUCAAAAUCAAAAUCUGUAUCAUUAUUCAUAGUUUAUGCUUCCUUCUUACAAUGUCUUCUUCUUCAAGAAUGAUGUGGGAAAUCGAUCAACAAGAGGAAUAAUUGUUAACCAAUCAUAAUGAAUGUUCAAUAUCCAAGUGGCCCAAAAUGAGAGGGAAGAGGAUAAGGAGCGUAGAAGGAGAGAUGACGAAGCAAGAAUGGGCAAAGCCUCACAUUCCCAUCAAGUCAUCCAAGCUGUGGGUCAGAUCUGCAGGCCCAACCAUUCCGGAAACCUUGAUAGAAGCAGACAACGACAAGGUAUGAAACUCUUGGAUGAUUAUUUUGUCCGUAAUAGUGCAUUGCCUAAUACAUACUUUAGACGUCGUUUUAGAAUGGAACGACAUUUGUUCAACAAAAUCAUGAUUGCAACCAUGAUUCUUACUUUGUGCAAAAGAAUGAUGCUUUUGGUGAUAUGAGUCUUAUUCCUGAGCAAAAAAUUACUGUUGCCUUGCGGAUGCUUACAUAUGGAGUAUCUACAGACCAAGUGGAUGAGAUAGCGAGGAUGGGGAAAUCAAAUAUUCUUAAGUCCCUGAUGAGGUGUUGUGGAGCAAUCGAAUCUAUCUACACCGUAGAGUACCUCCGGAGACCUACUAACAUGGAUUUACAAAGGCUUAUGAAAAAGGGCGAGAUGUGAGGUUUUCCUGGGAUGAUUAGAAGCAUCGACUGUAUGCACUGGACCUGGAAAAACUGUCCAAGUGCAUGCCAAGACGUUUAUAGGGACAGAAAAGGAGCAAAAAGUGUCAUUUUGGAGGCAGUGGCAUAUUUUGAUACAUGGAUUUGGCACACAUUUUCCGGGGUUCUAAGAGCUCAAAAUGACCACAAUGUCCUUGCCCAAUCCCGAGUGUUCAACUAUGUCCUGCAAGGAUAGGCACCAAAAGUCACGUACUAGGUCAACGGACAUAAGUACGAUGGGCCAUACUACCUAGCAGACGACAUUUAUCCAAUAUGGUCAUCGUUUUUCAAAACAGUGCCCUGUCAGCGAAGUACAAAGGCAAAACACUUUGCAAGCUAUCAAGAGGGGUGCAGGAAGGAUGGAGCGUUGUUUUGGUAUCCUCCAAGCUCAAUGACUGAUUGUUAGGGGUGCUGCCAAAAUGUUUGAUGUAGAGUCGCUUCGAUCCAUCAUGAUGACGUGCAUCAUUCUUCACAACAUGAUUGUGAAAGAUGAGUACGAUUAUGAUGUCGUUGAUGAAUAUGAGCAAGACACGAUGAACAAUUCCAGAACACAAAUAUAUUGUGCUCAUGACGCCACCGAAGAACCUGUGCAACACGAGCCAUUAGAAAUGGAUGGACGUUACAAUGAAAGGCUCAUUCAACGAUAUAUUGCACUUCAAAGGCCAUAUAUGCACAAUGUCCGGCAAAUUGACUUGAUAGAGCACCAGUGGGAAUUGAAACAAGCUCAAGAUACUUAAGUUCAUUUAGUGUGUUUGUUUUUAUUUGAUGUGUCUAUUUAAUUUCAUUUGGUGUGUUUUUUUUUAGUUCAUUUAGUGAGUUUUUUAUUAUUUGUUGUGUUUUUUUUAGUUCAUUUAGUGAGUUUUUUAAUAUUUGGUAUGUUUAUGUAAUUUUAUUUGGUGUGUUUAUGUCAUUUGAAUAAAGAUUCUCUUAGUAUAAAUAAAUUUAAUCUCACUUUAAAUUAAGUACUAAAUUCAAUAAAUUGGAAACAACAUAUAGUACUUUAUUCAAUAAAUAAUAAAUUACAACCCAAAGUGAUUAGAAAAUUAUGGGCUCCGAUUAUAAAAAGUACUCUAUUCAUCAUCACUUAACCAAUUUGUGGUGCUAGGAUUAUCUUCUCUUGUUGUGCUAGGACCAUUUCCUCUUGCUUGCCUCCUUUGCACCACGUCCGUUUUCUCCGACUUCCAAAAAUAUUUAGAAUUUGAAGACUUUCCUUCUAAAGUUGUGUUCAUAAUGUCACGAUCUCGUUGAGCCAUUCUUUCUUCUCUAAACUGUUCUAUUUCUUGCCUAAGUAGCUCUUUUUCUCUCUCAUUAGCUUGAAAUGCUCUCUCAACAGCUGCAACUUUUACCUCUUCUCUAGCCUUAUCAGCCUCAAAUUUCGCUAUUUCCAGCGCCAAAGUCAAUUCACCUUGGUGAGGACGUUCUUCCAUAUACUUUGCAUAAUCAUUCUUGGAAGCACUCCCUUUACUCUUUGAAGUGUUCUUACCUUGAGGCCUAAUUGGAUAAUGGGUUGACCCCGACGCUUGUUCAGGGGGGCGUUUCAAGCACUUCUUCUGCGUCAUCUUCAUGAACAUGCAAGGCAUGAUCGGGUGUAGAGUGUAGAGGGGUACUGUUCAUGAAAACUUCUGGAUCGACAGACACAACUCUGAAUUUAGGACAAUCUUUGACAAUAUUCCAACAUUCCCACUGGUUGAAUGAUUUGUUUUUGCUUUCGGUUUUGGCAUUAUACCAAGCUUGUACUUGAAAUUCCUACACAAUGCGGGAGAAUAAAUAAUUAUAAUGAAAGUAGGUAACAAAUAAAUAAUACAAACAAAUAAUUACAAUGAAAGUAGGUAACAAAUACUAAUACAAACAAAUAAUUAUAAUCAAAGUAGCUAACAAAUAAAUAAUACAAACCAAUAUUUGUUUAUAUUUGUAUUAUUUAUUUGUUAGCUACUUUGAUUAUAAUUAUUUGUUAGUAUUAUUUAUUUGUUACCUACUUUGAUUAUAAUUAUUUGUUUGUAUUAUUUAUUGUUACCUACUUUCAUUAUACUUAUUUCUUCUCCCGCACUGUAUAAGAAUUUCAAGCACAAGCUUGGUAUAAUGCCAAAACCAAAAGCAAAAACAAAUCAUUCAACCAGUGGGAAUGUUAGAAUAUUGUCAAAGAUUGCCCUAAAUUUAGAAUUGUGCUUGUCGGUCCAGAAGUUUUCAUGAAAAACACCUCUCUACACUCUACACCCGAUCAUGCCUCUCAUGUUCACGAAGAUGACACAGAAGAAGUGCCCGAAACACCCCCCUGAACAAGCGUCGGGGUCGACUCGUUAUCCAAUUAGACCUCAAGGUAAGAACGAUUCAAAGAGAAAAGGGAGUGCUUCCAAGAAUGAUUAUGCAAAGUUUAUGGAAGAACUUGAUCGCCAAGGUGAAUUGACUUUGGCACCGGAAAUGGCGAAAUUUGAGGUUGAUAAGGCUAGAGAAGGCUAGAGAGGAGGCAAAAGCUGCAGCUAUUGAGAGAGCAUUUCAAGCUAAUGAGAGAGAAAGAGAGUUACUUAGGCAAGAAAGGGAACAAGUUAGAGAAGAAAGAAUGGCUCAACGAGAUCGUGACAUUAUGAACACGCCUUUAGAAAGGAAGUCUCCAAAUUCUAAAUAUUUUUGGAAGUCGGAGAAAGCGGACGUGGUGCGACGAAGGAGGCGUGCAAGAGAAGCGAGAGCAAGAGGAGAUGGUCUUAGCACGACAAAAGAAGAUCAUCCUUGCACCACAAAUUGGUUAAGUGAUGAUGAAUAGAGUACUUUUUGUAAUCGGAGCCCAUAAUUUUCCAAUCACUUUGGGUUGUAAUUUAUUAUUUAUUGAAUAGAGUACUGUAUGUUGUUUCCAAUUUAUUGAAUUUAGUACUUUAUUUAAAGUGAGAGUAAAUUUAUUUAUACUAAGAGAAUCUUUAUUCAAAUGACAUAAACACACCAAAUAAAAUUACAUAAACAUACCAAAUAAUAAAAUACUCACUAAAUGAACCAAAAAAAACACACCAAAUAAAAUUACAUAAACAUACCAAAUAAUAAAAAACUCACUAAAUGAACUAAAAAAAACACACCAAAUAAAAUUAAAUAAACACACCAAAUAAAAACAAACACACUAAAUGAACUUAAGUAUCUUAAGCUUGUUUCAAUUCUCACUGGUGCUCUAUCAAGUCAAUUUGCCGGGCAUUGUGCAUAUAUGGCAUUUGAAGUGCAGUAUAUCGUUGAAUGAGCCUUUCAUUGUAACGUCCAUCCCUUUUUAAUGGCUUGUGUUGCACGGGUUCUUCGGUGGUAUCAUGAGCACAAUAUAUUUGUGUUCUGGAAUUGUUCAUCGUGUCUGGCUCAUAUUCAUCAACGGCAUCAUAAUGGUACUCAUCUUCCACAAUCAUGUUGUGAAGAAUGAUGCACGUCAUCAUGAUGGAUCAAAGCGACUCUACAUCAAACAUUCUGGCAGCACCCCUGAUAAUCGGCCAUCGAGCUUGGAGGAUACCAAAACAAUGCUCCACAUCCUUUCUGCACCCCUCUUGACAGCUUGCAAAGUGUUUUUCUUUUGCACUUCGCGGAAGUGGCACUGUUUUGACAAACGAUGGCCACCUUGGGUAAAUGUUGUCUGCUAGGUAGUAUGGCCCGUCGUAUUUAUGUUCGUUAACCUAGUACGUGACUUUUGAUGCUUAACCUUGCAGGACAUCGUUGAACACUUGGGAUUGGGCAAGGACAUUGUGGUCAUUUUGAGCUCCCGGAAUCUCGAAAAAUGUGUGCAAAAUCCAUGUUUCAAAAGAUGCCACUGCCUCCAAAAUGAUACUUUUUGCUCAUUUUCUGUUCCCAUAAGCGCCUUGCCAUGCACUUGGACAGUUUUUCCAGGUCCAGUGCAUACAGUCGAUGCUUUCAAUCAUCUCAGGAAAAUCUCACAUCUUGCCCUUCUUCAGAAGCCUUUGCAAGUCCAUGUCAGUAGGUAUCCGGAUGUAUUAUGCGGUGUAGAUAGAUUCGAUUGCUCCGCAAAACCUCAUCAGGGACUUAAGAAUGGUUGAUUUUCCCAUCCUCACUAUCUCAUCCACUUAGUCUGCAGAUGCUCCAUAUGCAAAGCAUCUGCAAGGCAGCAGUAAUUUUUUGCUCAGGAAUGAGACCCAUAGCACCAAAAGCAUCAUUCUUUUACACAAAGUAAGAAUCAUGGUUGCAAACAACAAUCAUGAUUUUGUUGAACAAAUGUCGUUCCAUUCUAAAACAACGUUUAAAGUACGUAUCAGGGAAUUCACUAUUACGGACAAAAUAAUUGUCCAAGAGUUCCAUACCUCGUCGUUGCCUGUUUCUAUCAAGGUUUUCGGAACAGCUAGGCCUGUAAAUCUGAUCUUCUUGGUCUUACCAACGACUUUCUUUAAGAAGUUGCAUAAAGUUUUGUUGAAUGCUUCUGCGAGGUCAUUGGUUGGGGCAUGAUACAUGAAAGACUUGUGCUGCUUGAACUUGUAUUUCUUACAGAGCUCGUCCAUGAGUCUAUUAGAGAACUGUUUUCCAUUGUCUGUGAUGAUGUAGCAAGGCACACCAUAUUGGUGGAUGAUAUGCUCAUUUAUGAAACGGGCAAUAGUUUCCUUCUGAAGUAAUUUGUUGCAGCUAGGAUGUAAGCUUCUCCUGCAGAUGACUUUGGUGAAAUUGGUCCUAUGACGUCCAAUUCCUAUGCAUCGAACGACCAUGAAGCAACUGUAGGGUGUAAUGGCUUAGGUGGUUGAUGUAUGAAGUUGGCAUGGAAUUGGCAGGGUUGACACAUUUUGGCGUGUUCUAGGCAAUCCUUCACCAUGCUUGGCCAGUAAUAACCCAUUCUUUUGAGCUGGAAAUGUAGCUUUGGUUCAGACUGAUGCGCCCCGCAUACACUUGAGUGUGCUUUUUCCAUGGCUUGAUUGGCUUCUUCCUCACCUAGGCAUCUCAGAAGUACUCAUUCAAAAAAACGUCGGUAGAGUGUUCCUUUGUAGUAGAGGAAGCGAGGUGCUCGUCGACGUAUUUCGGAGCGGUGUCUAGGAUCAUCUAGAAGCUUUCCAUGCUCCAAGUAGUCGAUCAGCGGUUGUCUCCACUCUUCAGCGUCGACUGGAAGUACUGAGAUGACAUUUGUAUCAUCCAGUAGCAUUUCAGUGAAGAGCGGGAUCAUUUAUCUUUGGCAGACUAGCACGUCUGCAGCUUCAUCUUCUCCUAGUGCCAUACUCGAAGCUAGGUCAGCGAGAGCAUCGACCAUUUGAUUUUCUUUUCUUGGCACAUGUUCCAGUGUCAUGGCCUCGAACUUUUGUAGCAGUUGAGUUGCCAGCCGGAAGUAUGGGACGAGAUCAUUCUUUCUUAAUUCAUAUUAAGUCAAAAGUUAAUUGAUUAUGAGCUUGAAGUCGCCAUAUACUUAUAGGGUUGUGAUUUCCAUGUUGAUCGUCAUUUGGAGUCCGAUGAUCAGUGCUUGGUACUCAGCGACGUUGUUAGAGCAUAGCUUGAUUAGUUGGAAGGAAUAGGGUAGUACUUGUCUUUGUGGCGACAUGAAUACUACUCCUGCCCCCGCUCCGUCAUUUCGUGCGGAUCCAUUGAAAAACAUUGUCCAUGUCGGGAAGAUAUCGAUGUAGAAUACCUCCUCGUUAGGCAAGUCAUAUGAGAUUUCCAAUCGGCUGAGAUUGGAUGUUCGGCAAGGAAGUUUGCUAGCGCUUGUCCUUUGAAGGCUUUAGCUGGGACGUAGAUGAUCUCGUAUUGGUUGAGAAGCAAUGCCCAUUUAGCUAGACGUCCUGCCAAAACUGGUUUGGACAUGACGUAUUUGACUGGGUCAGCUUUAGUAACCAAGUGGAUGGUGUAAACAUGCAUGUAAUGUCUGAGCUUCUGAAUGGCAAACACCAAGGCAAGACACAUCUUUUAUAUCGCGGAGUAGUUCAACUCAGCGCUGGUGAGAGCUCGACUGAGGUAGUAAAGUGCUUAUCCUUUCUAGGAUUCAUUUUCUUGUGCCAAGAGUGUUCCAACUGAACUUUCCUGAGUGACGAUGUACAAUAUGAGCGACUUCUCGGGCAUAGGCGCCCCCAGGACAGGUGGACUUGAUAAAUACCUUUUUAUGCUUUCAAGCAUCCAACCUUCCAAAUUUCCAUGAAUCCCGAAAGAUUGAGAAAGCUCUCUUUGUUCUUCGUCAAAUCCUUAGAGAAACAUUCAUCAAGAUCAAGCUCCGAAGGCCCUUGAAGAUCCGUCCAUCAAGAUCAAGCCCAACGGCCCUUGAAGAAAUCCACGUAACUGUUCAUCAAGAUCAAGCACAACGGCCCUUGAAGAAAUCCACACAACUAUUCAUCAAGAUCAAGCGCCGAAGGCCCAUGAAGAUUCGUUCACCCUCGUUCAUCAAGAUCAAGCACAAUGGCCCUUGAAGAAAUCCACACAACUUUCAUCAAGAUCAAGCCCCAAAGGCCCUUGAAGAUCUGUUCAUCCUAAGAUCAAGCCCUGAUGGCCCUUUGGAUCAACAACAUCAACAAAUAUGCACUAAUGUUCAUCCCUAGAUCAAAGCCCAACAACUCUUUGGAUCAACAACCCAUCCAUAAAUUUACACCUUACGAAGAUAGAAUAAGAUGAUCAAAUUGUAAAAGAGAUUGUAACCCCAAAAUUAAUACAAAAUAUUAUUUUGUACACGUGUUCUUGUUUCAUUCAUCGCAGGAAAAUUCGUGAUUACAAAUUUGGCACGGCCAGUAGGACCAUCUCUACCUUUCAUCUCUAUCUUCAAAUCCACAAAAGGCACAAAUGACGUUGAGGAAGGUUCAAGCUGUUCCCGUAACCAACGCGGAGAACAAGAACUUCCUCGCCGCAAGUGGUGGCACUUUGGGCAUCACAACUCGAAGCCAGGCAAGAGCUUUUUCCGCCGUCUUUUCCACCCCUGCAUCAACUCUGCCAACGGAACAAGAGCACUCGAGGCACGAGCCCCUGAUCACCCUAGCCUCGCUAAGUGCGCCGAGGAAGGAAAGCCCGAGAAGGUACUCCGAGUCCUUGCUCUUCGAUGCCGAUUUGAGUAGCAGCUCAACCAUGCAAGUCAUGACCAUUGGGACGACUUCAAUCGAGGAGCAACUAACUCAAAUGAAGGAAGCCAUUGCAAGGCUCACAAGGACCGCGAAGGAGAAAGACUUGCAAAUCGUCGCACUCGUAAACCAACAUAGGUACAAAAACAUCUUAAGGGAACUGGAGCAGAAGACAUACCCUUUUUCGGAUCUGACAUGGCCGCAAUGCUAGAUGACUUGUUAGAGAAUAAGGUCAUCGAGUUGCUUGAAUGUAAGCGUCCGGAAGAGAUGAAUCGUGUUAACAAUCCCAGGUACUGCAAGUACCAUCGUAUCGUAAGUCAUCCCGUUGGCAAGUGCUUCAUCCUCAAGGAACUCAUCAUGAAGCUGGCACAACAAGGGCGAAUCGAACUUGACCUAGAAGACACAACCGCAACGCACACUACUACGAUUGUGUUUGGAUCAUUUGAUCUCGUGCCUCUUCAAGUGAUGCAUGACCAUUCCCGUCAAUGCUCAAAUCACACGUCACCUUUUACACAACCAUCACUAGGGCAAGCAACCAAGAACACCUACUAACGAUGAUGAAGGAUGGACCUUGGUGACCGCUAAAAAGACAAGGAAGCCAAUACUGCAAGCCACAAAGCUGAAGGUGGAGUAAGGGAGAAAGCACCGCUGUCAUAACAAUAGGAAGCCCAAAAGAAACAUAAAAGUUGCUAAGCCAACAUACGUUGGGAGAUAUAACCCGAUUAGUGUUGUAAUAAAGAGACACAAAAUCCGAACAAUCCUCUUUAACCACCCGACUAGGGCGAGCGUGCUUUCUCAAUGUACCUUAGAUAGUUUUUUGGACCAAAUCGCAAGAAAUGGCACUCGGCAGAGAAUGCUGGGCAGUGAGAGCAAUUCAUAAUUUUGAUCUCUGGUUAUGACUCAUUCUUUCUCCCUGUUUUCCUUAGGCGUGAGAUCAAAGGAUCCAAACACAAUCAUAGUAGUGUGCGUCGUGGCCGUGUCUUCUAGGUCGAGUUCAGUUCCCCCUUGUUGUGCCAGCUUCAUGAUGAGUUCCUUGAGGAUGAAGCACUUGCUGACGGGAUGACUUAUGCUACGAUGGUACUUGCAGUGCUUGGGAUCGUUAACGCAAUUCAUCUCUUCGGGAUGCUUGCAUUCAAGCAGCUCGAUGACCUUUUUCUUUAACAGGUCGUUUAGCAUUGCGGCCAUGUAAGAGUUCGAAAAAGGGUACGUCUUCUGCUUUAGUUCCCUCAAGGUGUUUUUGUACCUAUCUUAGGUGUGAGAAGGCUUACCUCUAUUUAUCUCCUUUGCUUUGUUCUUAGAGGAGAUUUUGAUGGGUACAGAUGAGGUUUUGGUAGGGAUAGUGUUGAUGGUAAAAGUUUCCUUGGCGGGCUUCUUCCCAUGAUUGUCCACCUUCGAAGAAAACACCUUGUCCUUCUUGAAGUUAGUGAUUGGCUCUUUUUUUCCAUGAUAGGCGAUGCUCAACUCCAUGUCGUGGGAACGGGUGGUUAACUUUUUGAAGGUCCGCGGUUUGAUGCCUUGAAGGAUGUAGUGUAAUCCUCAUUACAUGCCUUGGAUGCACAUCUCGAUUGAGGAGAUCUUCGAUAGUCUGUCUUUGCAGUCGAGGCUUAAAGUGCGCCACCGGUUGAUGUAGUCAACGACUGGCUCGUCAUUCCAUUACUUCGACUUGUAAGCUCUAGCAUGCUUACAGUGCGGCGGGUGCUGUAGAAGCGGUUCAAGAACUCUUGCUCCAAUUGCUCCCAGCUGCUAAUGGACUCAGGCUCUAGGUCCGUGUACCAGUCGAACGCAUUCCUCUUCAGAGAGCAAACAAACUGCUUUGCGAGGUAGUCUCUUUCAGUCCUUGCGUUGUUACAAGUUUUGACCAAAUAGGCGACGUGUUACUUUGGGUUUCCUUUUCCGUCAAACUGCAAGAACUUUGGCAGAUGAUAACCCCUCAGCAUACGCAAGCUAUCAAUCCUCUUGGUAUAUGGCUUUGAGUACAACAGUACAUCCCGCGAAGUGCCUCCACCUUGUGUUUUGACGGUGUUGGCAAUCAUGUCCUGGGGUUGCUGGAUGGAAAAAGAGCCUAUGAGUGCCGUUGCUUGGUCUGGCUUCUCCUCGACUUUUUCUAUCGGAGGCUCCUCAUCGUCCUCGUCUUCUUUCUAAUGGAUCAACCUUUGGGUCGACUUUCACGUUGUGAUGUGCCUCCAGUUGGUUGACGAGUGCGGCAAUUUGCAAGUCUUUCUUCUCUGCGGUCCUUGUGAGCCUUGCAAUCGCUUCCUUCAUUUGAGCCAACUGCUCAUCGAUUUAAGUCGUCCCGAUGGUCAUAAUUUGCAUGGCUGAGCUGCUGCUUGAGUCAGCAUCAGAGAGCAAGGACUCGGAGUACCUUCUCGGGUUUUCCUCCCUCGGCGCACUUAGUGAGGCCAGGGUGAUCACAGGCUCGUGCCUUGGGUGAUAUUGUUCAUUCGGUAGAGUUGAUGCAGGGGUGGAAGACACGACUGAAAUAGCUCUUACCUUGCUUUGAGUUGUGACGUCUGAAGUGCCACCAUUUUCAGCGAGGAAGUUCUUGUUCUUCGCAUUGGUUGCGGGAAUAGAUUGAACCUUUCUUGACGCCAUUUGUGCCCUUUUGCGGAUUUGAAGAUAAAGAUGAGAGGUAGAGAUGGUUCCACUGGGCGUGCCAAAUUUGUAAACACGAAUUUUCCUGCGAUGAAUGAAACAAGAACACGUGUACAAAAUAAUAUUUUGUAUUAAUUUUGGGAUUACAAUCUCUUUUACGAUUUGAUCCUCUGAUUCUAUCUUUGUAAGGUGUAGAUUUGUGGAUGGGUUGUUAAUCCAAAGGGUUGUCGGGGCUUGAUCUAAGGAUGAACAGUGGUGCAUAUUUGUUGAUGUUGUUGUUCCAAAGGGCUGUCGGAGCUUGAUCUUAGGAUGAACGAAUCUUCAAGGGCUUUUAGGGCUUGAUCUUGAUGAACAGUUGGGUGGAUUUCUUCGAGGGCCGUUGGGGUUGAUCUUGAUGAACGAGGAUGAACAGAUCGUCAAGGGCAUUCGAGGCUUGAUCUUAAUGAACAGUUGUGUGGAUUUCUUCAAGGGUUGUUGGACUUGAUCUUGAUCAACGAGGAUGAACGGAUCUUCAAGGGACUUCGAGGCUUGAUCUUGAUGAACGAUGAACGGAUCUUCAAGGGCAUUCGGGCUUGAUCUUGAUGAACAGUUGUGUGGAUUUCUUCAAGGGCCUUCGGGAUUUGAUCUUGAUGAACAUUUCUCUAAGGAUUUGAUGAAGAACGAAGAGAGCUUUCUCAAUCUUUCAGGAUUCUUGGGAAUUUGGGAGGUUGCAUGCUUGAAAGUUUUAGAGUUUCAAAGCUUCAAGGAUUUGGGGCGGGAAAAUUUCAACGGUUCGGUUCAGUGUGGUUUCGCUUAAAUUUGUUACUAAAAUCGUAGGUUCGGUUUAUGAUGGUUUUGGUUCGGUUCAUGCAGGUUUACGGUUCAUGCCGGUUUACGGUUCUAACCAAAAUUAUAUAUAUGUUUUUUCUAAUUUUCUACUUCUAAUACCAAACACAUAUUUCAACCACAAAUUCAAGUAAAUUUGAGUUUCCACUACUAGAUCUACAAGAUUUGUGACCGGAAGAUAGAGUUUGUGCAUAUAAAUAUAAAUCAAAAUAUAGAAAAGCUUAUAUCAAGACCAAAGUGUAGAUUUUAAACAAAAACUAAAAUGUACAUAAUGCAUAAUAUACUGGAAAAGAAAGGAGAAAAUAAUGUAGAGGGAGAAAAGUGAUAAAACAACAAAGGAGGGGGAGAAAGUGAAGAAAAAUAUUAGGCUUAUGCACAUGGUCUUCUUGGAAAAAUGUCUUGUUUAUAUAAAAAUAAUAAUAAAACAAUAAUUUAUAUUAAAAGCGGUUCGAUCUGGUUCCUCCGGAUCUUAAUAUUUCGAAACCAGAACCGGAACCGUUUGAAACGGUUCGGUUUGAUUUUUGUUCCAGUUUUAACUUUUUUGGUCAACACGGUUUUUUACGGUUUUUUUUGUCACGGUUCGAUUCGAUUCGAUUCGAUUUUCCGGUUUGGCGGUUUUUAUGCCCACCCCUAGUUGAAGGUUAUCCAUGAAGAAAAGAUAUCCCUACUUGUUUGUACCAUACUUGACCAAUCCCGAAACUACUGAGCAUCGGUCAACAUUAUACCGUCAAGGACCCAGAAGAGCUUCCCUUCAACCAGGAGGCCAAUCACAAUGCAACACGUGUCGACAUCAGAAGCCAAUCACAGCGCGACACGUGUCAACAUCAGAAGCCAAUCACAACACGACACGUGUCAAUGUCAGAACAAAACUAGAAACUCUCUUCUAUAAAUAGGGAUCAUUCUCCCACAAUAAUCUCUAAUGUCAUUUUGUACUAAACUAUUCGCUUGGUUGCUUCGGUCACUAGUGAGGCUAAGUAUGUAAAUGAAUAGAGACAGAGAAGCAAACACAAGAUAUACGUGGUUCACCCAGAUUGGCUACGUCCACGGAGUAGAGGAGUUCUCAUUCAUUAUGAAGGGUUUACACAAAUACAUAGGUUCAAGCUUUCCUUUUGUGAGUUUUAGUGAAUAGUUUAGUACAAAAUGACAUUAGAGAUUAUUGUGGGAAAAUGAUCCUUAUUUAUAGAAGAGAGUUUCUAGUUUUGUUCUAACAUUGACACGUGUCGUGUUGUGAUUGGUUUCUGAUGUUGACACGUGUCACGCUGUGAUUGGCUUCUGAUGUCGACACGUGUCACACUGUGAUUGGCCUCUUGGUUGAAGGGAAGCUCUUCUGGGUCCUUGACGGUAUAACGUUGACCGGUGCUCAGUAGUUUCGGGAUUGGUCAAGUAUGGUACAAACAGUGCUCCCCUAAGUUCCCGAGUGAGGGAAGCUCCUCGGUUGGGGACCUGAAAAAUCCAAGUCACUGAGUGGUUCUGAGACUUCCGAGUAUCAAGGUGCAGUAGCAUAUGGUGGGAGUCCCCCAAGUCUUCAGGCGAGGAGAGUUGCCGAAUGAGGUGUCUUGCUUGCUACUAAUUUGUCAAAGUAACGAAGCCUUGUUUUGAUGUCACACCUUCAUAUAUGCCUUAUCCAAAAAUAUUUCAAGCUGGUUUUAGCUUUGCGAGGGCCCAAAAUUUUUGUGUAGCCCAAAACUGCUCAUUUGUUUUCAAGCCCACGAAAAGAGGGGAUCCAGUGCAUUUGUUCAUUUUUUAUUUGGUUGGCAAGCCCAAAGAGGAGAAGAGGUCUGUGCCCACUCCCCUUUAUUUAUUUUAUUUUAUUUUUUUUGUGAAGCCUAAUGCUUUCUUGCUUCAUGUCGGGAGGUAGAGAAAUAAUAACAAUGAGACUCAAAGUUUCAUCCCUUUGCCUGUGUCUUCUUCCCCAUUUCCCUGGAUUGUUCUCAAUAUGGCACUGUUCAUUUAUUCCUUUUGUCCGUCACUUUUUGUGGCCUUUAGCUUUUCUUUUGCUUUGCCUUUUCCUUUCUUUGCUGGAAAGGUUUUCAUUUCCACUAAAAAUCUGAAUUAUUCCAAAGCCAUGUUGCAGGAAAUGUGGGUGUUGGAGCCAAGGAAGUGAAGGAGGGAGUUAACGUAGAGGGAGCGGUAGCUCUUCAAUAUAACACCAUUCUUUGUAGCUCAAAUCGCAAGGUUGUCUUCAUGAAAAUUGUUCCUUAGCUUGUGAACUACAACAUAUCCAAAUUUGAGAUCCAUCGGAGUAGUACAACUCCAGAUAUUCAGGUAUGAUGAGUGACUGUUCAUCAUUUUUCUGUUAACCCGUCAGACUUAUUGUGAGCUUCGAAACUUCAUGUUCUCUUGUUCAGAUCAACAUACUUUCUUCAUCGAAGUUUUUCCUCACCUAGAUCCAGGUUGAGGGUGAGUUGUUUGUCGUUCUCACUCUACAUGUAGUUCUGGAUUCGGUAUGUUGCUUGCUCAAGCUCAACCGGGACAACUGCUUCUGUACCAAAAGCAAGUGAGAAUGGAGUUUCUCCUGUGGAAGUCCGAUAUGAAGUGCGGUAUGACCAAAGAACUUGGGGUACGAAUUUUGGCCAACAACCUUUAGCUUUGUCCAAGCUAGUUUUCAGAGUGCGCUUGAUUAUUUUGUUAACGGCCUCAACUUGUCCAUUAAACUGGGGAUGGGCUGGAGAGGCAAAACAUAAGUUGAUGUUGAACUUAGAGCAGAACAUCCUGAACUUCUUGUUGUUGAACUGUCGCUCAUUGUCCGUGACUAUCGCAUUGGGAAUGCCGAAUCUGCAGAGGAUGUUCUUCCAUACGAAGUCUUGUAUUUUUUCCUCAGUAAUGGUUGCCAAGGGUUCUACUUCAACCCACUUUGUGAAGUAGUCAACUGCAACGAUUGCAUAGCGGACCUUGCCCUUCCCUGCAGGCAUUGGGCCGAUCAAAUCAAGUCCCCAUUGGGCGAAGGGCCAAGGGCUGAUCAAAUCAAGUCCCCAUCUAUCAAAUUUCUGCAACUCAUGCUCUUCCUCAGUGGAGCUGAAUUUUGGACAUCUUAUAGUUCUUGAGCAGAUGAACAACUUUCACGAAGGAAAUGUUUCUAUUUGAGUGACGGAAGUUAGAGUGUUGAAGCUUCAAACAUGACGGUCAGAUUUCUGCAAGCUUCAAAGCUGCUGCGGUGUUUCGAAGAUCUGGAGAUAUUCAACCGUUAGUUUGUUCUGAAUUUUUGAUAUGUUAAGGAAGAGAUGAUGAGGCACAACUUCGAUGAAGAAAGUAUGUUGAUCUGAACAAGAGAAAAUGAAGUUUCGAAGCUCACAAUAAGUUUGACGGGUUAACAGAAAAAUGAUGAACAGCUACUCAUCAUACCUGACUUUCUGAAUUUUUACUGCUCCGACGGAUCUCAAAUUUGGAUAUGUUGUAGUUCACAAGGUGAGGAAAAACUUCAAUGAAGAAAGUAUGUUGAUCUAAACAAGAGAACAUGAUGUUUCGAAGCUCAUAAUCAGUCUGACGGGUUAACAGAAAAAUGAUGAAUAGUCACUCAUCAUACCUGAGUAUCUGGAGUUGUACUACUCCGAUGGAUCUCAAAUUUGGAUAUGUUGUAUUUCACAAGCUAAGGAACAAUUUUCAUGAAGACAACCUUGCGAUUUGAGCUACAAAGAAUGGUGUUAUAUUGUAGAGCUACCGCUCCCUCUACGUUAACUCCCUCCUUCACUUCCUUGGCUCCAACACCCAUAUUUCCUUCAACAUGGCUUUGGAAUAAUCCAGAUUUUUAGUGGAAAUGAAAACCUUUCCAACAAAGAAAGGAAAAGGCAAAGCAAAAGAAAAGCUAAAGGCCACAAAAAGUGACGGACAAAACGAAUAAAUGAACAGUGCCAUAUUGAGAACAGUCUAGGGAAAUGGGGAAGAAAACACAGGCAAAGGGAUGAGACUUUGAGUCUUAUUGUUAUUAUUUCUCUACCUCCCGACAUGAAGCAAGAAAGCAUUGGGCUUCACAAAAAAAAAAAAUACAAUAAAUAAAGGGGAGUAGGCACAUACCUCUUCUCCUCUUUGGGCUUGCCAACCAAAUAAAAAAUGAACAAAGGCACUGGAUCCCCUCUUUUCGUGGGCUUGAAAACAAAUGAGCAGUUUUGGGCUACACAAAAAUUUUGGGACCUCGCAAAGCUAAAACCAGCUUGAAAUAUUUUUGGAUAAGGCAUAUAUGAAGGUGUGACAUUAAAACAAGGCUUCGUUACUUUGACAAAUUAGUAGCAAGCAAGACACCUCAUUCGGCAACUCUCCUCGCCUGAAGACUUGGGGGACUCCCACCAUAUGCUAUUGCACCUUGAUACUCGGAAGUCUCACAACCACUCAGUGACUUGGAUUUUUCAAGUCUCCAACCGAGAAGUUUUCCUCACUCGGGAAAUUAAGGGAACACUACCUCAAACUACAUACUUCACUCACAAAGCUUCAACAAUACAAGUUUCAACAAAAGAAAAAAUUCAGAGAACUUUCUGAAGAAGGCUUUGGUGUAUUUAACAUAAUACGUUGAAAUGAAGCAAAACUUAUUUAUUAAUAUUUUCGAUAAGCUACAAAUAUGUACAUAUACAUGAGUCAAAAUAAACAAACAAGAAGGAGCCUUCACAAAGGUUGCUUAGGGGAAGUCUCAGCAUUCGGUAGAGCCCCAGAAGGAGAAAGCACCGGAGGGUGGUUAUCCGGAGCCUCAGUACUGGACAGAACCCCAGAAGGAGGAGGUAUUGGAGGUUGAUCAUUUGGAGCUUCAUUAUGCGGUACAGCCCCAGAAGACGAAGGCAAUAAAUGCCUUUGGAACAAACCUACAAACCUUUGAUGAUCAAGUAAAGCCUGACCAUCAGAUUCCUGCAUCUGGUCAAGCUUCAUCUUCAUAUUUGUAGCAUAGUCAUGCGCGAGCCUGUGCAACUAUUUAUUCUCAUGCUUGAGCCCUCUAAUCUCCUGUUUGAGACUUAUCACUUCAGCCGCCAAUGAUUCAACUUGGCGGGUUCUAGCAAAUAGGCGUUGGGCCAUAUUAGACACAGAACCUGCACAUUGAACACUGAGAGCCAGAGAAUCCUUAACAGCCAACUCAUCAGACCGUUUGGAAAGUAGUCUGUUAUCUUUGGGAGUGAGAAUGUUCCUGGCCACCACCGUAGCGGUCAUAUCAUUCUUCAUCACGGAGUCCCCAACGGUAAGAGGACCAGUAGGGGAUAAGAAAGAGGGGCGCCAUAUGUUGUCUUGAGAAGGCAUCCAUGCCUCAUCACCAAAGUUCAAGUCAAAACGACGGUCGGAUGGGCCAGACAUUCUCAGAAAUGAUGAAGGAGAAUGAGGUGCAAUAAAUCUCUGAAGUAAGGGGAAAAUUCCUAUAAGCAAUAACUCUCUGAAUGUACUUCUUACACACAAUUGGUGCCCUUAUAAAACGAAAGGCAACAGGGUCGUUGGUUCAAAAAUCAAAGAAUCAUUACUCUCCGGAUUCCGAAGAGGCACCACUCUCUACACUCAACAUCAACUCCUCGGGUACCACAUAUAACUUUGCCAAAGAUCUCUGACAAAGUUUAGGCAUGAGAAUUUCGAAGUUCCAGCUACCCUACUAUUACCCACAAGGGUAAAGGAACAGCACCACUGCUUGACAACUGGAAAGUCCCUAUGUGUGUCGACCUCCGUGUUCCGUGGCAAGACAGACUGGCAAGAACGUCCAACCUUUACUCACAUUCGAGAAAAGACUUCCAACAUAAAUACUUUCUCAAAAACCGAAAUGGCGCCGCUCUUCGAAUCUCGAGAGCCAGACUCCCAACAUACUUUCUUAAAAACCGAAGCGGCACCAUUUUCCGAAUCUCAAGAGCCAGAUCCCCGAUGGGAUUGCUUGUUCGAAAACCGAAGAGGCACAACUCUCAGAACUUCGAGAGCCAGAUUUCCUUAGAUAAAGCUUGUCUGUAAUCUUCACACGCAACAUCAGCUUUCCAGAUACCACAUACCACUUUUUCAAAGUGCGCUGACAAAGUUAAAACACGUGAAGCUGGCAGCUCCCACUACAUUGCUGUGACCAAGAAGGAUAAAGGAAUAGCAUUACUACUUGCUAUUGGGAAAUCCCUAUAUAUGUCGAUCUCCCUCCUCCACAGACAGGCAAACCUGCAAAAAUGCUCAACUCUUUCUCGCAUUUGAGAAUGCACUCUCAACAUAACCUCUCGAAAUACUCAGCUUUAUUUCCCCCCGAUAAUACUUCAGCAAAUAAGCCACACCAAGAACAAGAGUAUCUCAUAUCACCAGGGUCAAAAACAAGAGUAUCCCAUAUCAUGAUUUCUCCAUGUCCUUGUCUUUGUCCUUGUCCACACCUGCAGGACAAGGAGAAAGAGAGCAGUCAGUCGGAACCUGAAAUCAAACCUCCAAUCUGGAACUGACUGCCUGGGACCUUUGCCUGGUUGCUUACUUAGCAUUGCUCUCGAGUACUCAUCCUCAACUGCUAUCAAGGUCAUGAAUUCCUCCGGCAAAUACCUCAUGACAGUUGAUCAGAUAUUGGCUCUUUACACUGAAGCUGCCAAGCGUGGAUGAGUCACUAUGAAUGAAUGUUCUGAAUGACCAUUUAAAUGCAAAGGUUGCACACCACUUCUGCCAUGCAAAAGAUUGAAGCAGAAGGUUCAACGAUGAGCUGAAACAGAUCACUACAGCACGACACCUUUCCAUACCACAUUCACAAUUCUGUUAACAGCAAGAGUAUCCCAUAUCAUCAGGGUUGAUCAUACUCUAGAUUUGAUGGACUUGUUUUGACCCUCAAAUUCUUGAGUCGACUCACUAAGGCGUCGUGAACUGCACGUGCCGAUUCACCACUCUUGAAUCAAAUCCUUAAAGAUCAAGCUACCAACGGUCUUGAAGAUAUCACAAGCCCGAUUCAAGAUCAAGUGUCCACCACCCUGAAUCAAAUCCAGUUCAAGAAUAAACCUGUGGAAAGUUACUUCUUCAAAAGCAAAAGUAUUUCAUAUCAUCUCUUCUCAUUUUUCUUCCCUUUAUCCUUCAUGCUGCCUGCAAGAUAGGGAGAAUGAGAACAAUCAGCCGGAACUCGAAAUCACAUAUCUGAUCUAGGACUGAUUGCUUGGAGCUCUAAUUGCUUACCUUGUCUGCCACCUCUUUCGACAGAUCUCUUAGCUCGGCGACUUGGGGGACUCCUACUACAUGGUUUGUAUCGCGUUUGACCAAGCCUAAAACUACAAGUAAGCUUCAAGUGAAAAUGAUACAUUACCUUGUGCAUCUCCACCGGUUAAAGACACCACCCCUGAAUGGAGGAAGCGUACUUCCAGAGAAGAUGCCACAUCUACCUAUGAGAAAGAUAAGGCAAGUGAAGACGAUACCACACCUCGGUACUUAGAAGUUUCGUGAUUACUCAGCGGCUUGGAUCUUGCAAGUCCCCAACCGAGGAGCUUCCCUCACUCGGGAACUUAAGGGAGCACUGUUUGUACCAUACUUGACCAAUCCCGAAACUACUGAGUACCGGUCAACGUUAUACCGUCAAGGACCCAGAAGAGCUUCCCUUCAACCAGGAGGCCAAUCACAAUGCGACACGUGUCGACAUCAGAAGCCAAUCACAGCGCGACACGUGUCAAUGUCAGAACAAAACUAGAAACUCUCUUCUAUAAAUAGGGAUCAUUCUCCCACAAUAAUCUCUAAUGUCAUUUUGUACUAAACUAUUCACUAGAACUCACAAAAGGAGAGCUUGAACCUAUGUAUUUGUGUAAACCCUUCACAAUGAAUGAGAACUCCUCUACUCCGUGGACGUAGCCAAUCUGGGUGAACCACGUAUAUCUUGUGUUUGCUUCUCUGUCUCUAUUCAUUUACAUACUUAUCCUCACUAGUGACCGAAACAACCAAGCGAAGGUCACAAAACCUGACACUUUCUGUUGUACCAAAGUCCUCACUGAUUUUGUGCAUCAACACUACUAAUCCCCCCAAAAAAAAUAGGACUAAAAGGGACAACUUUUGUUCAUGAGUAACCUCAUCGUGGACAAAAUAAGGAAAUUAUCAUCUAUUUCUUCCUCCAAAAUGCCUUCAAUGUAGUGAAUAGUGCUACCCAAACCAAUCCUUUUUAACAAUCGAGGCCUUAGAGUUUUAUUUUGUUAUCAAGGUAUUUUAGAGUUUUACUUUACCUUUAGUUAGAAGUUCAAUUAUUAUUAUGCUUCGCCAAAAGUUGUAUUGUAUAUUUGUCUUAUAAUUCUUUAGAAUCCAUGGAAAAAAUAGUUUCUGUAAUCCAAACCAUAUUACGGAGGUCCCCAAAUAUAAGGGAAAAACAAAUGCAUCCCGGAAAAAAAUUAAAUUAAAAAGAAUGGCACAACAUGUACUUACUACAAGUGUUAGUCAUAUGAUUCAACAAGCCACAUGGUUCUCCAUCAGGUGUAUGCACAGGGCAAUUUCCGCACACUUGUGGUGCGCAGUCCAGCGAAUGAUGCCCCUCGAUGAACAGCACGAAAAUGAGAUAAGAAACGUAAAUAGUUAAGCCUCUCUGACUGAACCGUCAAGCCUGCCCUCUAAAAAUAUAUGUAAAGCACAUAAAAAUCAUAAGCAAGCAUCCAAAUAAUUAUAAAGAUAGCCUACUUGUAAACUUGAAUAUCACAUAUGAGAUAAGAUUCAUAUAUAAAGAAGCGGCCACGUUCUGGGCAAGUUUCGCUUGUGAAUAGCAAACCUCUUCCUACAAAAUUUAUGACAUGAAAAAGUUCAAGCAUAACCAAUAAGCCAUAC
Molecule: long non-coding RNA, 44813 nt
Filed under: Malus domestica (apple)
Lineage: Eukaryota; Viridiplantae; Streptophyta; Magnoliopsida; Rosales; Rosaceae
Description: long non-coding RNA (MDOM_LNC015931)
Source: RNAcentral